Molecule: long non-coding RNA, 60616 nt
Filed under: Triticum aestivum (bread wheat)
Lineage: Eukaryota; Viridiplantae; Streptophyta; Magnoliopsida; Poales; Poaceae
Description: long non-coding RNA (TAES_LNC024152)
Rfam family: Histone 3' UTR stem-loop (bases 48654-48699)
Source: RNAcentral
UCUGGAAGCAGGUAUAAUCUAUCCUAUAGCUGAUAGUAGAUGGGUAAGUCCUGUUCAUUGUGUCCCUAAGAACGGAGGUAUAACUGUUGUUCCUAAUGAUAAGAAUGAACUUAUUCAAAGAAUUGUUACAGGCUAUAGAAUGGUAAUUGAUUUUAGAAAAUUAAAUAAAGCAACUAGAAAAGAUCAUUACCCUUUGCCUUUUAUUGAUCAAAUGCUUGAAAGAUUAUGUAAGCACACACACUUUUGCUUCCUUGAUGGAUAUUCUGGUUUUUCACAAAUACCUGUUUCUCAACCUGAUCAAGAAAAGACCACUUUUACUUGUCCUUUUGGAACCUAUGCUUAUAGACGUAUGCCUUUUGGUUUAUGUAAUGCACCUGCUACCUUUCAAAGAUGUAUGACUACUAUAUUCUCUGACUUUUGUGAAAAGAUUGUUGAGGUUUUCAUGGAUGACUUUUCUGUUUACGGGAAGUCUUUUGAUGAUUGUUUAAGCAAUCUUGAGCGAGUUUUGUAGAGAUGUGAACAAACAAAUCUUGUCUUGAAUUCGGAGAAGUGCCACUUUAUGGUAAAUGAAGGCAUUGUCUUGGGUCAUAAAAUUUCUGAAAGAGGUAUUGAAGUGGCCAAAGCUAAGGUUGAUGCAAUUGAGAAAAUGCCAUGUCCUAAAGAUAUAAAAGGUAUUCGUAGUUUCCUAGGUCAUGCUGGUUUCUAUAGGAGAUUUAUCAAAGACUUCUCUAAAAUUUCUAGGCCUCUCACUAGUCUCUUGCAAAAGGAUAUUCCUUUUGUUUUUGAUGAUGAUUGUUUAGAAGCCUUUGAAACACCCAAGAAAGCCUUAAUUUCUGCACCUAUUGUUCAACCACCUGAUUGGAACUUGCCUUUUGAAAUUAUGUGUGAUGCUAGUGAUUAUGUUGUUGGUGCUGUUCUAGGACAAAGAGUUGAUAAAAAAUUGAAUGUUAUUCAUUAUGCUAGUAAAACUCUAGACAGUGCUCAAAGAAAUUAUGCUACUACUAUAAAAGAAUUCUUAGCAGUGGUGUUUCCUUGUGAUAAAUUUAGACCUUAUAUUGUUGAUUCCAAAGUAACUGUUCACACAGACCAUGCUGCUAUUAAAUAUCUUAUGGAAAAGAAAGAUGCUAAACCUAGACUUAUUCGUUGGGUUCUUUUUCUACAAGAAUUUGAUUUACAUAUCAUUGAUAGAAAAGGAGCUGAGAACCCCGUAGCUGAUAACUUGUCUAGGCUUGAAAAUGUGCUUGAUGACCCACUUCCUAUUGAUGUAGUUUUCCUGAUGAGGAUUUAGCUGCAAUAAAUGUUUCUCAUAGUACUCCUUGGUAUGUUGAUUAUGCUAACUACAUUUUGUUGCAACAUAUGUACCACCUAGCUUUACAUACCAACAAAAGAAAAAAUUCUUCUAUGAUUUAAGACAUUACUUUUGGGAUGACCCAUAUCUCUAUAAAGAAGGAGUAGAUGGUAUUAUUAGACGUUGUGUACCUGAGCAUGAACAGGGACAAAUCCUAUGGAAAUGUCACUCCGAAGCUUAUGGAGGGCAUCAUGCUGGAGAUAGAACUGCUCAUAAGGUAUUGCAGUCUGGAUUUUAUUGGCCUACUCUCUUCAAGGAUGCCUGUAAGUUUGUCUCAUCUUGUGAUGAAUGCCAAAGAAUAGGUAAUAUCGGUAAGCGUCAAGAAAUGCCUAUGAAUUAUUCACUUGCUGUUGAACCAUUUGAUGUUUGGGGAUUUGAUUACAUAAGAACUUUUCCUUCCUCUAAUGGGUAUACACAUAUUUUGGUUGCUGUUGAUUAUGUUACUAAGUGGGUAGAAGCUAUUCCAACCAGUAGUGCUGAUCACAACACCUCUAUUAAAAUGCUUAAGGAAGUUAUCUUCCCAAGGUUUGGAGCCCCUAGAUAUUUAAUGACUGAUGGUGGUUCACAAUUUAUUCAUGGUGCUUUUCGUAAAAUGCUUGCCAAGUAUGAUGUUAACCAUAGAAUUGCAUCACCCUAUCAUCCUCAGUCUAGUGGUCAAGUUGAACUUAGCAAUAGAGAAAUAAAAUUAAUUUUGCAAAAGACUGUCAAUAGGUCCAGGAAGAAUUGGUCUAAGAAAUUAGAUGAUGCACUUUGGGCUUAUAGAACAACAUAUAAAAAUCCUAUGUGUAUGUCUCCUUAUAAAAUGGUUUAUGGAAAAGCUUGUCAUUUGCCUCUUGAGUUAGAACAUAAAGCAUAUUGGGCAGUUAAAGAACUCAAUUAUGAUUUCAAACUUGCUGGUGAAAAGAGGUUAUUUGAUAUAAGCUCAUUAGAUGAAUGGAGAACCCAAGCUUAUGAAAAUGCAAACUUAUUCAAAGAAAAGGUUAAAAGAUGGCAUGACAAAAGAAUUCAAAAGCGUGAGUUUAAAGUCGGAGAGUAUGUUCUUUUGUACAACUCUCAUUUCAGAUUCUUUGCAGGAAAACUCCUCUCGAAAUGGGAAGGCCCCUAUGUCAUUGAGGAGGUUUACCGGUCUGGAGCCAUCAAAAUAAAUAAUUCGGAAGGUACUAACCCGAAGGUUGUCAAUGGAUAACGAAUAAAGCAUUAUAUCUCAGGUACGCCCAUUAAUGUUGAAAGUAAUAUCAUCCAAACUUUGACACCGGAAGAACACAUAAAAGAGUCCUUCCGGAACACUCCAGAAUCGUGAAAAUAAGGAGGUACGUGAUACGGUAAGUAAACGGACUCCGAAAAAUCCGCAAAAAUAUUUUUUAUUAGUUUUGGAAUAUUUAAGAAUUUUGGAACUAAAGAAACUUCCAGGAAGCAUCCCCUGGUGGGCACAAGACACCAGUGCGCGCCAGGCUUGCUUGGCGCCCCGAGGUGGGUUGUGCCCACCUGGGACACCUUCUGUACUCCGUUUUUUCUCCCGUAUGCUUGUCCUCCAAGAUAAAAAAAUCUAUAUAUACUUCCCGAACCUGUUAAUCACCAUAUCGCGAAGAAAUCCUCUAUUCUCUUUUUCCUUGCUGUUUUCUGUCAGAUCCCAUCCACCAUGGCCUCUUCAAGCUCCUCCAAGGAAAAGUUCUUCAAGAACGUCAUCAGCCCAUAUCUGCGGGAGGUGGUGCAGCACCCUCAAACCAUCCAGAUGCAUGACGGGGUGUUGUACAUCCGUGAUGAGGAAGGUCCCAAGGGCACGGAACCAUGGAGGCCAGGCUUGAAGCCAUGGAUCAGGAAGUCUUCUGGUGCAAGGGGAUGGUGGAGCAUGGGCUCAAUGCCAAUCACCUCAUGAUCACGGACCUUUCCCGUGAUCUCAAGGUGGAUGGCAAGCCCAUGAAGGACAUCAUCUUCACCCUCAACGAGCAAAUCAGCUUCCUCCAAAGCCAGAUCUAUGACCUCCAAAACCAAGUCUUUUUGUAUGAGGCGAGGUUCAAAGGUAUGAGUUUGGCUGCUAGUUGUAGGACCCGUGAGACUCACUCCUCCUCUUAUGAUGGUGGACCACUGCCAUGGAAAUCCGAGGACAAGAUCUCUUCUUCAUCACCACCAUCAUCUUCUUCACCACCAAAACAGAACUAAGUAUCGGGUAUGGGCACUCCCCUUGGCUUCCGCCAAGCUUGGGGGAGGUGCCCCGGUAUCGUAUCAUCCCACUAUCUCUUUGCUUUUACUUAUUUUAGUUCGAUCUUUUUGCCUUAGAUGAAUAAAAGUUUAGCUCGCUCUUUGAGAGUUUGCUUAGUGACCCAUCCUUGUAAUCGUGUGCAAGUUAUAUAAUAAAGUUAGUUUGAGUUUUUGCUUUCUUUACUUUCAUGUUGCAAACAAAAGAAAAUAAAUAAGAAAGAAAGAAAAAGAGAAAUGAAAUAAAUAAAAGAAAGGAAAUAAAUCAGUAAGAUCAUAUACUAAUCCUAUGGUAGGUGAUGGCACCACAUAAGGAAAAGUAUAAGUAGGAAAUUUUAUUAGAGAUUGACAAACAUAGUAUUAGUCAAUGAUGCAACUCAUGAAAGAAUUAAUAAGGGAAGAGAAGAUUCACAUAUAAAUAUACUAUCCCAGAAAUCUUUUGUGAUUGUGAGCCCUCAUCAAAAUAUUAUAUGCCAAAAUUGUUGACGUUGGACAAGGAAGACAACUUAAUGGUUUAUGUUAGUUUAUAUUCACAUAGAAGUCAUAUUGUCAUAGAUCCUUCAACAUGUGGUGCUUGCCCCUAUCUUUGCUAGCCAAAAAUUCCGCACUAAGUAGAGAUACUACUUGUGCAUCCAAAAACCCUUAAACCCAAAUCUUAUGUUCAAGUGUCCACCAUACCUACCUAGGGAUUGAGAAAGAUCCCCCAAGUAAGUUGUCAUCGGUGCAAAAAUGCAAUAAAAAUUGCUUCUAAAAAUGUGAGAUCAUUUAGUGUAAGAGAAAAUUGAGUGUUGUAUGACCUUGGAUGCAAAGAAUAAAAGCGACUGACUGCAUAAUAAAGGUUGUCAUCUUAAGGGGCAAUACAACGUGACGUUCUUUUGCACUAAGGGAUUGAGCAUACAAACAAAUAAGCGCAUGGCAACCUCUGCUUCCCUCUGCGAAGGGCCUAUCUUUUACUUUUUAUGUAAUUACUUUUAUGCCAAGAGUCAAAGUUUUUCUUCUAUUCCCUUUUAUUUUUCUCCUUUGGCAAGCAUCAUGUGGUGAGGAAAGAUCUAGGCACAUAUGUCUAGUUGAAUAUAGAUAGGAUAAGUUAUUAUUGUUGACAUCACCCUUGAGGUGAAUAUGUUGCGAGGCAAAACUAUAAGCCCAUAUCUUUCUAUGUGUCUGGUUGAAAUGUUUUGCUCAUGUGUACGCGGUGAGUGUUAGCAAUCAUAGAAGACUAUAUGAUGGUUGAGUAUGUGGACUUGCCUAAAGGCUCCGACACGUGACCCUUCCUGAAAAGAUGAUGAAUUAUAGUCGCAAAGUUGACUGAGAACAUAGUUUGUUCGUUUCUAAUAGAGUUUUUGCUUUAUACUUCGAUUGUGUGAUGAACUAUUACUUAUUCAUGAGAAGUAUAUGAUAAAAGUUCUAUUAUAAAAGCCAUAUGUUUAAAUUUGUUGCUGUUAUAAUAAUCAACAUGAUGCUUCUAUGUCUGUAUUUUGUUUUUAUCGACACCUCUCUCUCAAAGCAUGUGGACAUGUUUUUCGAUUUUGGUUUUCGCUUGAGGACAAGCGAGGUCUAAGCUUGGGGGAGUUGAUACGUCCAUUUUGCAUCAUGUUUUCUUACUGUUAUUUAUGAUGGUUUUAUCCAUAAUAAUGCUUUUUGGAGUAAUUAUAAUGCGUUUUGUCUCAUAAUUUGCAAGGUAUACACCAAGGGGGAGAAUUCUGGCAGCUGGAAAUCUGGACCUGGAAAAGCUACGUCAGGCCACCUAUUCUGCACAACUCCAAAUGAGCUGAAACUUCAUGGAGAUUUUUAUGGAAUAUUUAAGAAUUAUUGGAGCAAAUAACUACCAUAGGGGGCCCACCAGGUGGGCACAACCUACCUGGGCGCGCCAGGGAGCCCAGCGCGCCCUGGUGGGUUGUGCCCUCCUCGGCCCACCUCCGGUGCCCAUCUUCUAGUAUAUACGUCAUUUUGACCUAGAAAAAAUAAGGAGAGGACUUUCGAGAUGGAGUGUUGCCGUCUCGAGGCAGAACUUGUGCAGGAGCACUUUUGCCCUCCGGUGGAGCGAUUCCGCCGGGGGAACUUCCCUUCCGGAGGGGGAAAUCAUCGUCAUCAUCAUCACCAACAACUCUCCCACCUUGGGGAGUGCAAUCUCCAUCAACAUCACCAUCUCAUCACAAACCUUAGUUCAUCUCUUGUGUUCAAUCUUGUUACCGGAACUAUAAUUGGUGCUUGUGGGUGACUAGUGGUGUUGAUUACAUCUUGUAGUUGAUUACUAUAUGGUUUAUUUGGUGGAAGAUUAUAUGUUCAGAUCCAUUAUGCUAUUUGAUACCCCUCUGAUCAUGAGCAUGUUUAUCAUUUGUGAGUAAUUACUUUUGUUCUUGAGGUCACGGGAGAAAUCAUGUUGCAAGUAAUCAUGUGAACUUGAUAUGUGUUUGAUAUUUUGAUAGUAUGUAUGUUGUGAUUCCCUUAGUGGUGUCAUGUGAACGUCGACUACAUGACACUUCACCAUAUUUGGGCCUAAGGGAAUGCAUUAUGGAGUAGCAAUUAGAUGAUGGUUUGUGAGAGUGACAGAAGCUUAAACCCCAGUUUAUGCGCUAUUCCGUAAGGGACCGAUUGGAUCCAAGAGUUUAAUGCUAUGGUUAGAAUGUAUUCUUAAUACUUAUCUCGUAGUUGCGGAUGCUUGCAGGAGGGUUAAUCAUAAGUAGGAGGUUUGUUCAAGUAGGAACAACACCUAAGCACCGGUCCACCCACAUAUCAAAUUAUCAAAGUAGCGAACACAAAUCGAACCAACAUGAUGAAAGUGACUAGAUGAAAUUCCCGUGUACCCUCAAGAACACUUUGCUUAUCAUAAGAGACCGUUUUAGCCUGUCCUUUGCCUCAAAAGGAUUGGGCUACCUUGCUGCACUUUUGCUACUACUAUCGUUACUUGCUCGUUACAAAUUAUCUUGCUAUCAAACUACUCCACUACUUACAAUUUCAGCACUUGCAGACCUUACCUUACUGAAAACUACUUGUCAUGUCCUUAUGCUCCUCGUUGGGUUCAACACUCUUACUUAUCGAAAAGAGCUACAAUUGACCCCCUAUACUUGUGGGUCAUCAGAAACUCACUUUCCAAAUGUCAGCUUCAACCCUAAUUACAUUCAAAUGCAACAACAUUCAGUUAGUUUAGAAACAAAAAAUCAAUUCGUUCAGAAACAAAAAAUUCAAUACUAAGCUACAUUUUAGUUAGUUCAAAUUCAGUACUAAGAUACAUUAAGUCUAAAAUGUGCAGCAAUAAUCAGUUUGUUAAGAAAGAUUCAGUCCUAAACUACAUUAAACAUAUGACACCAACAUUCAACUGUUUCAGAAAGAUUCAGUAUCUCCACCAGCUUGCAUUGCAAAUAUGAAACCCUAGCUACAAGGAUAGGUUCGGAAAGCUCACGUAGGUGGCGAUUUUGCAGUGCAUAGGUCCUCCACCACCUUGCGGGCGACAUCAGCCAACGACCGUGUUGCCGACAAUGAGAGGAACAAGCUGACGUGAUACGUCUCCAAUGUAUCUAUAAUUUUUUAUUGUUCCAUGCUAUUAUAUUAUCAAUCUUGGAUGUUUUAUAUACACUUUCAAGCAAUUAUAUCAUUUUUUGGGACUAACCAAUUAACUUAGUGCCUAGUGAUAGUUGCUGAUUUUUUGCUUGUUUUUGGUUUUUCAGAAUAUCUGUACCAAACAAAGUCUAAAUGCCACGAAACUUUUUGGAGAUUUUGUUCUAGCAAUAAGACACUAUGGAAGCUUUGGGAGGGGACGAGAAGAUGGAGCAGUGGACCAUGAGGCACCAGGGGCGCCCUGGUGGCUUGCAGGGCCCAUGUGGCUCCCUUGUACCUAACUCCGCCUCUAUAGAUUGUCUAAAAUCGGGACACCAACAAGGCAGUCCAUGAAAUACUUUUUCCGCCAUUGCAAGUUCCUGUUCUUGACAGAUCCCAUCUGGAGGCCUUUUUUGGCACUCUAGUAGAGGGGGAUUCGAUCAUGGAGGGGCUCUAAAUCAUCCUUGCUACCCUUUCGAUGUUGCCUGAGUAGUUUACCACGGACCUACGGGUCCAUAGUUAGUAGCUAGAUGGCUUCUUCUCUCUAUUUGAUCUUCAAUACAAUGUUCCCGUUCAUGUUCUUGGAGUUCUAUCCGAUGUAAUCACUUUUUGCGGUGUGUUUGUUGGGAUCCGAUGAAUUGUGAGUUUAUGAUUAGAUCUAUCCAUGAAUAUUAUUUGAGUUUUCUCUGAACUCUUUUAUGCAUGAUUGUUAUAGCUUCGUAUUUCUCUCUGAUCUAUUGAUCUGGUUUGGCCAACUAGAUAGAUUUUUUCUUGCAAUGGAAGAGGUGCUUUGUAAUGAGUUCGAUCUUGCGGUGCUCAAUCCCAGUGACAGAAGGGGACAUGACACGUAUGUAUCGUUGCUAUUAAGGGUAAAAAGAUGGGGUUUAUUCAUACGUGAGUUUAUCUUGUCUACAUCAUGUCAUCUUGCUUAAGGCGUUACACCAUUUUUUUAUGAACUUAAUACACUAGAUGCAUGCUGGAUAGCGGUCGAUGUGUGGAGUAAUAGUAGUAGAUGCAGGCAGGAGUCGGUCUACUUGUCUCGGCCAUGAUGCCUAUAUGCAUGAUCAUUGCCUUCGAUAUCGUUAUAAUUAUUUGCUUUUCUAUCAAUUGCCCAACAGUAAUUUGUUUACCCUUCGUAUGCUAUUUUCAAGAGAGAAGCCUCUAGUAAAAACUAUGGCCCCGGGUCUAUCUUUUAUCAUAUAUAAAAACCAAAAAUACCUUGCUGUGUUUUUCUUUUAUUUAUUUUAUUUUGUAUGUUUGUCUGAUCUAUCUAUCAAAUACCAUACAAUUUAAUCUUGCUCGUAACCGUCAAGGGAUUGACAACCCCUUGUUCGCGCUGGGUUGCAAGGAUUUGUUGUUUGUGUGCAGGUGCUGCUAAUGAGUUGUUGCUUGGUUCUCCUACUGGAUUGACAACCUUGGUUCUUAGCUGAGGGGAAUACUUAUCUCUACUGUACUGCAUCAUCCUCUCCUCUUCGGGGAAAUCCCAACGCAGUUCACAAGUAGCAUGCUGCCGCAGCAAUCCUCCUCCUCCUCAUCCUCGGUGUGGCUGCCCCUUACCACGCCGCCAUUAGGCCCCAUCCGCCCUUCCAACGUGUUUCCCUCGUCGCCAAUGGAACCGACCAUGCCUUCUUCAGAUUUCGCCGCCGCCAUGCCGCCUUAGUGAGGGGGAGGGAGAGUGGAGUGAGUGACGAGAGAGAGAGAGAGAGAGAGAGAGAGAGAGAGAGAGGAGAGUGUGUGUGUGUGUGUGCUGGUUCAUUCCGACCGAUCCGCUUCCGACAGUCGACCGUCUCCCGCUGUUAGCGGUGCGCCAUCCCCCGCUGUCGGCACGCGAGUAAUCUGCCACGUCAAAAUGUGCUCAUUUUUUGGUUCAGUUUUUUUGCCACUGUCAAAUUUUCGGCGUGGUGCGAAGUGUCACAUUUUGUAAAGUGGUGGUUCUCCGAGAGCUAUGACACUAAAGUGGUGGUUUUAUGCGUUUUACUCAAGAUGGAAGGACUAUGCAAUUUCAACUUCUCAUUAGAGUCCCCAUUUUUUGUUAUUAGGUGAAAGAAAGGCAAAGGUUCAUCUGAACACCGAAUACACUAUCCCAUAUCCAAAUAGCAGUAGCUGCUUUGUACACAAACCGGUAGUGCUAAGAGCAAAUCCGAAGUCAAAUAUCCACAACUAUUAAAAUAGACUGUAACUUCAUGUUUUUAUCAAGUUAAUGACUAUCCCAAGCAUGCAAGCCUUAAAUUCAGUACUAAACCAAUGAUAAUAAGCCCAAGAUAUGACAUGACAAACAUGUGCCAACCAAUUUCCUAACUUUCCAACCCUCCUAUGGACGCCGAUGAGGUGAUGAUCUUCACCCCUCUUCGUCCGCUGCUCGGGCAGCUAGUGGAGGGGAGUGGGCUCCCCUUUCUAUUCUAGUUAGUCCAUAGGUUUAGGAUCUCAUCUUCAUGUAGCUGCGCCAGUUUGGAGUGGUUGGUGUUGCAUCAAAUAAGGUGGCUUCGGUGUCUCCUCACCAAGGCGAAGUUAUCUCCAGCGGCGCCGCUAAGCCGAUGGCCUCAUAUGAUCUUUGUUCGUCUGGAACGGUGGGCUUUAUGUUUUCCUGUGUCUGGCGGUUAUUGUGUGUCAUGGCGGCGCCGACAAGUGGGAUAUGUUGGUACUGGUUCAAGGUUGGUGGCCCGAUGGAAGGCGGAUCUAGUGUUCUUCCCCAGCAAAGACAGUGGGAUGCGUGUAGUCCGGAUCUAGGUCGGCAUGGGGAAUGUUCUCGACCGACCAGCCACAUGGCCAAGUGCAUGUUCUGCAGGUCUAGUCUUCGAAUCUCGAUGCCUUGAAGGCUAUGGCACCAGUCUGGAUUUCUGUUUGCUGGUGUUCAAUCUCUUCCUAUGCGUCUCAACGGUGCUGGCGGUCGAUGACGGUCUCAUAUGUAGUUGGUUGCAGGGAUCCCAAUGGACUUUUUUGUUAUGUUCUUUUAUUUGAGGUUCUUUUUGCAAAGUAUUCUGGACACAAGUCAUGUCAUGUUCUUUCUAUUAUUAGUUUUCGCAUGUAUGUGCAUUUAUUAAUAAUACGUUUACUCUUUUGAUAAAGGUUAGAUUUUAUUGGCUCAAAAUGAAGCAUCAAGUGGACACAAACACAAAGGGAACACAUCCUACCUUUGCAUAACUGAGAUGCACAGAGCUAAAACAAACGCGCACACACAACUAAAUAUGUCGGCAUAUGGCAAAGCCAUGCAAGACCAAAACUAUGCUUAGCACAGGAAAAAGAAAAAAAGGAAACUAUGAAGCGAUCAAAACAACGAUUGACAAACUACAUCAAUGACCAUAUCUGCAACAACCAUCCCUUGACAUCAUUAGGACCGCGUUUUUCUUAAAGAUACGUCUUCAAGAAGAGAACGACACUCAAGCGCCGCCGUCAUCAGAUCCAACCACCAAUGAUCACAUUCUAAGUUUUCAUCCUGAAGAACAAGUCCGGGCAAUGCUUUCACCAAGUUCACAACACACAACAUUGUCAUUGCCAGUUAACCAACUCGGGUCAAACCUAAGUUUUUCAGCCCGGAGCUCGAGACCGGAUACUCAAGAAAUACAACCAAAUUGAAGUCAAUCAUAGUAGUUGUCGCCACCACUUUUCUGCGAUCCCAGCAGCUACAUGCAUUGGGCUAGAAACCCACCAUGCUGUUGCAUCACCAUACCCUCUGUGUUAAGCCAUCAUUCAUAGAUUGCAUCGCACAGUCGAAGGCAAACUGGCCGGAGUGGGAGCACAGUGAAGCCUUCAGGCUGCAUCCCACAACCUCGCUAGUACGAGCCAUUGGUCGGUGUCCACAUCUGAAGGAGAAAUCCUCCCAAAUCAAACACCUAGCCCAAGAAUUCACCCGAUUAACCAGUUAACUCGUCGAUUAAUCCCUACUCAUAGAGCCACCUAGCAGCCGAUAAACUGAUAAAUCAUUUGAUUAAUGGAUUAACUUGCCGAUUAGCCUAUUAAUCCCUUACUCGCCAACCAACCGCGCAGCUAUCAAUUAACAAUUUACUCAACAAAGGCUAGCCGAGACGUUCACCGAUUCGAUUGGAUGCGACCACCAGCGAGACAUGGAGUGACCAGCCCCGACCCUCACUAGCCGCUGCAGGGAGCGCCACCUACGCUGCCUAUACUCCGUUUAUUGAUUAAUAUAAUGCGUGCGGUUCCAAAAAUACAUGGAUGAAAAAAGGACAACCUUAGUAGUAGUAGAAAUAUGUAACAAAGCAGUUGCAAAUUUGUAUCAUCAGAGUUGCCCACAAGUGGUUGUGCACCUCUCUAUCCCGUCAUACAUAUGUAGUACUACUACGAUUUGAUGGGCAUAUAAAAGCAAAUCCAAUUAAUUAAUUAGCAAUUUAUGGUACUACAUUAAUAAUUAAUUAAAUGAGAGGAAAGUACAAUGAAUGCGNNNNNNNNNNNNNNNNNNNNNNNNNNNNNNNNNNNNNNNNNNNNNNNNNNNNNNNNNNNNNNNNNNNNNNNNNNNNNNNNNNNNNNNNNNNNNNNNNNNNNNNNNNNNNNNNNNNNNNNNNNNNNNNNNNNNNNNNNNNNNNNNNNNNNNNNNNNNNNNNNNNNNNNNNNNNNNNNNNNNNNNNNNNNNNNNNNNNNNNNNNNNNNNNNNNNNNNNNNNNNNNNNNNNNNNNNNNNNNNNNNNNNNNNNNNNNNNNNNNNNNNNNNNNNNNNNNNNNNNNNNNNNNNNNNNNNNNNNNNNNNNNNNNNNNNNNNNNNNNNNNNNNNNNNNNNNNNNNNNNNNNNNNNNNNNNNNNNNNNNNNNNNNNNNNNNNNNNNNNNNNNNNNNNNNNNNNNNNNNNNNNNNNNNNNNNNNNNNNNNNNNNNNNNNNNNNNNNNNNNNNNNNNNNNNNNNNNNNNNNNNNNNNNNNNNNNNNNNNNNNNNNNNNNNNNNNNNNNNNNNNNNNNNNNNNNNNNNNNNAAAGGGCCCCAAAGGCAAGAUCAGAAGCAUCAACUACUUGACAGCGUCAGUGGUCGGAGCAGAGGUAGCUAGCUAGCACAGUGCCAAGCUGAAGCUGUGCAGCGCGCGGCCUGAGGCCGCCUAAGGUUUUUGCCCCUGGUCUCGAGCUGCUAGCUCUACAUAUACGUCUCGCGGUGGGGUUCGUGGCAAUGGCCGGUGUCGAGUGCGGCGGUGGGGACUGGCCCUUCUCCGCCGAGGAAGCGUACGCCGAUUCCUCUGCGCUGUUGGCGGAGAUCGGCUGGGCGGCCGGUUUUGUCGACGACGGCUGCGCCGGGGAGCUGCUUCCGCCGCUGGAUCCGCCUCCGGCCACACCAACGGGGUCCAUGGAAGGGGCCGGCGCCUCGUCGAGCUCCACCGAUGACGGUGCCACGCGGGAGGCUGCAGACGCCGACGGCAGGCCGGCCGCCGCGACAGAGGCAGCGUAAGUAAAGCUGCGGUAGCUUAAUUCACCGACGGAUCGUCGCCAUGCUCAUCUCCUCUCUUCCACGCCAUGAGCGUUAAUUCGUAAUUACCAUCGACUUUUCCAAAAAAAAAACUUAGUUUAAUUUCCUUCUCCUCGAUAAUAUUUCACUUUGCAUUUCAUUUCGUUAUAUAAUUUCUCUUUUACAUUCGUCCUUGUUGCGAGUACUUUUAUAUUCGUCUGAAUUAUUCGUUAAUAGCACGUCAUCGUUUCCAAGGGCAGUCCGGUAAAUUCGGUAAUGAGGCUGAGAGAGUGUGGUGCUGUGUGGUUAAUUUGCAUGGAACGUUGCGCCGGGAUUCGCGUGCUAAACCUCCCCUUCCCCUCUCAUGGCCUUUUUAAGUCCACGAUAAGGUUGUUAAUUUGGAACGUAUGCUAGCUAGAUUCACGGCCACCACUAGUAUACGGAGUAUUUUUAUAGGGGUUUUGGACUAUUGAUGAUUGAUUGAAAUAAAAAGGGAACGAUUUGUCUCUUGCGCCAUGCGUUAAUUUGGUCUUCUCUGUACAAAUGGGAGCUAACAGCAACCUCCAUCUAUGCGUGCUUGGAUAUGGAUGCAGGAGCAAGCCGGCGCCGGCGCUGGCCCCGGGGAAGACGAUGAAAAAGCAGAAGCGGGCGCGGCAGCCACGGUUCGCGUUCAUGACCAAGACGGAGAUAGACCACCUCGAGGACGGAUACCGCUGGAGGAAGUACGGACAGAAGGCCGUCAAGAACAGUCCUUUCCCAAGGUAACGUAUUCCUAUCGUCCGAUCCAUAGCUUAAUUUGUACAUACGUACGUCCCGUGGAAAACUCUACACAUUAUUUUCUUUUGCGAGGAAAAAUUCUACACAUUAUAUGCUUCGUAUAUAUGAAUGAUCUCCAUAUCCUAGCUGGUCGGCAGAGCUCCUGGUUCUGCCUAAAAAUCCAUCUCCAUAUCCUAACUAGCAGCAUAUUAGAUCAUGCAAAAAAUGCGUAAGAUAAUUCAGUGUGUAAUUGUGUAUAGACUAUUAAGAUACUCCCUCUGUAAACUACUGUAAACUAAUAUAAAAUCGUUUAGGUCACUAGUUUACAGAGGGAGUAGUUGAGAGUGAAAGCGUAGGACAUAUGUAUGUGCAUGUGAGUACGUAAUAGGGUGCAAUACCAUAUAAAUUUGGUGUGCAUUGAAUAUGUAAAUCAUUUGGUAACUAAUUGCCGUUAACUACUAGUGUGUGUGUGGGGGGUUUCUCCGAUACUCAUCGCUUCAUAACGAACAUGACAGUACGUAGUUUCGUAAACUGUGUGCAUACAUUCUGCUUUAGGGUAGCUUUCCUCUGCUGAUCAGUUUGUUAAGGAGGUAGUUAAGUUUAGCUCUGAUUUAGCUAGUGCACUGCAAGAUAGAGAGAGAUCGAACCUAUGACGUUGUGGGUCGAAUCCUAGUAAUCAAUUCACUGGGCAAAAUUAAUGAAUGCGCACAGUACUGGUACUACUUUGCACGUAGUACUUGUACGUUUUAUACGGAUGUCAUUUUAGAGGAACCCUUGGCAUGCAUUCGUCAUGUUUUUAGUUUUUCUUUCUUUUUUGACAGGAGAAAAUAAUGUAUAGUACCUAACCUGACAUGUAGCUAGGCCCAUUUUUCACUUUAUCCCGCAAAUCACAUGAUUCAUUUUGCCAUGGAUGAAUGAAGUGUUGCAAUUAUAUUCUCUUACGUAGGAGCUACUACCGGUGCACCAACAACAAGUGCACGGUGAAGAAGCGCGUGGAGCGCUGCUCCGACGACCCCUCCGUUGUCAUCACCACCUACGAGGGCCAGCACUGUCACCACACCGUCACCUUCCCCCGCGGCGCCGGCGCCGCCACCCUCGCCAGCCAGAUGGCCUUCUCGGCACACCACCACCACCUCAUGUACAACGACUUGCCGGCGCUGCACUCGCCGACCACUCAAAACCCACUCUUCAGCGUGCCGGCGAUGUCGUCGUCGCUGCUCCAGCCGCUACACUGCAACCGACAGGAGCUGCAACUUGCAAGCUACACAACCCAGGCAUCGUCCAUCUCGUCGCCAGGGAGUGUUCCCGCCGUCGAUAAGGGGCUUCUGGAUGACAUGGUGCCUCCAGCGAUGAGGCACGGAUAGAUCGACGGUGUCGAUCGCCGCUAGCUAGCUUAAUUAAUUAUUAGCUGCUUAAUUAUGCAUGGAUGGACCACUGAAUAGAGAGAAGAAUAGGGUAAUUAUAUAGUAGUAUGGUGGUACAUAGGUAUAUAUUUUACAAUGUGGUUAAUUAUUUCUUGAACAUGUCAUUUACUGGUAAUAGAUUAAAUAUGCACUGUGUAAGUAGUACUCUACUCCGUACAACGUAUGUAUAAUUACUGUGUGGUUAUACAAAGUAAUUAUACGCACUGCAUGUUGAUUAAAUUAUGAGUAUAUGGCUUGUGCCAACAUUGUAUAUGUAUGGUCGAUGCAAAUUCUAAUUAAUUAUACUAGUCAUCAACAUGUACACCUAUGUGACCUGUAGUAACUACUACUCCCUCCUCCCCGCAAAAAAAAAGAGAAAAAAAUCUACUACUCCCUCCGUCCCGAAUUACUUGUCACUUGUCGCAAAAAUGGAUGCAUGUAAGUAAUUCGGGACGGAGAGAGUAGUAUUUAGUUUGGUUAUCUAACAAAAAAUAGGCAGGAUUUUAACCAAAUAUUCUAUCCCAAAUUCCAUUUUUAGACAAUCACAAGCUUCCUCAGUAUAUUGUGUGUUGCCAAUGAUGUUUAGACCAUCAACAUACAUUGAGAUAAUAUGAAAUCAUGUUGAGGAUUUCUUGAUGGGCACGCAUGGGUUCUCAUCAUUCUUACAAUAACCUUUUGUUAUAAGGUUCUCAUUAAGUCAGUUGUACCAAAUAUAUUCCAACAAAUUUAGCCAUGGAGUGACUUGUAGACUUUACAAAAUAUAUGUUGCGUUUUGCGUUUGGUUUUGAAGUUGAAUUCAUGUGAAACUUAUAUAUCCAAAUCAAGUGACCCACAAGAAUAUAUGGUCACCACAUCCAUCAACUCCAUAGAUGGAUGAUUUCGAGCUGCAAUUGGGAUAAGGUAUUGGAAAAUGAUUCACAUAUAUCUGGAGAAUAGGUUUCGGCCAUCUGCGUGAAACCUUGUGCUACAAGUCUUGUUAUGUGUCUCAUCACCUCGUUAUUCCCUUUCCUAAUGAAAACGCUAUUGUUGAAAGACUCCCUAUAUCUUUUGGUGUACACGUCUCAGCUAGGCUUAACUCAACUUCUUAAAACAACAUUUCAAGCUGCUUUAUAUAUAAAGCAAAUCACCACAUCCAACAUCAUGUCCAAAUGCCGGAAAUAAAAUAUAAGUUUGGUAGGGCAACGACACAAACAUGCCAAAAAGAAGAAUAAAGUAAUGCGAUACAUGGCUCCAUGGAGCAGCCGUAUCCCUAACUAGGAGGCAAAGCACGGCGUCGGCUUGCCACACACAGAGUAUCAACAUACUGCCUAGCCGGUCCAUGCCUUGCAGCCUAGAGGGCGGAUGCAGGUGCUGCAAGAGGCUAGAAAUUUAAACACGGAGUUAGUGCCACGUUGGAAAAGGUCCGCUCGAUCACCAUCUUGUUAUGUGUCAUCCAAAGGGUCCAUGUCAAUGGCGCGAACAACAACCACAAGAGGCGUCUAUUGAUUACCUUUCAUCUGGUUUGUGAUGCAGAUAGUGCCUUUUCCCCUAGAGACCCUAGGUUUAUCGAACCCAUGAGGAGUGAUGCUUAGCAAGGAGAUUUCUGCAAAGAACUUGUUAUCUCAAAGAGUACUAGUUUUCUAGACCAAAUUCCCACAGUUAAAUAACAAGACAACAAUAAAGAAAUAGGCUAGGGAUAAAGGUUUCACAUGCAUCCUUGUAUUUGCAAUUGAGGAUAUUAUCUAGAUAAACAUCAUGGCACUGGUAAACACCGUUACAUAUGUGUAGUCAACGUAGUGUGGUCGAAUGCAUCCAAAUAACCCCAUGACCAACCAGCUAUCACCAUAUCGAGGUUCUAUUGUUCAAACCAAGGCCCUAUUUGACUCGCGGGGUUACCUCGUUUAUUAAGGAUUUAACCAGACCAACGCAUUGGAUGUGACUGCACAGUAUCUAACCUAGAGACUUGUGACAGUGCAACUAUCCCUGGGUGGUUUUGGUAAUUCCUAACAACAUAUAGCUCAUGGAGCUAAUGCUAUUUCAAGAUAGAUAUUUCAGGAAAGCUCAAUGAUUGGCAUGGCAUGGAUUAGAAAGUGGACCCUUCAAAAUGCUAAGGACAAAAGAUUGGCUCAAGCUCAAAGCACACGACCCUACAUUUUCUAUUUUAGUGAUCCAAGAUCACAUUGAGUCUAUAGGAAAAGGCAAUACUAUUAAGAAGGGAUGAGGUGUUGCUUAAUGAGGUGCUUGCUCAAAAUGCUUAGUGAUAUGCUCCAAAACCCUCCACUACUUUCUCAUAUCCACAUAUGUCCCAAACCAAAAGUCCAACUCGGCCCCACCGAUUCUUUCUAUCCGGCGCCACCGAGUUCAGUUGACAUAGCCACUGCCAGAAACCCUAGUCUUUUCGGUCUCACCGAUAGGGAUCUCGGUCUCACUGAGAUGGGAUUGUAAUCUCUCUGUUUCCCUUCGUAACGUUUCGGUCCAACCGAGAUGAGCGAUCGGUCCCACCGAGAUUGCAAUGCAAACACUCUGUUUCCCUUUCGUAACGUUUCGGUCCAACCGAGAUGAGCGAAUCGGUCCCACCGAGUUUGCCUGACCAACUCUCUGUUUGACUAUUACCAAAAUCGGUCCCGCCGAGUUUGUGUAAGCGGUCACACCGAGAUUACGUUAUGCCCUAACCCUAAUGAUAUCAGUCCCACCGAGUUGACAUGUUGGUCCCACCGAAACACCUAAUGGUCACAUUAUGAACCAAAUCGGUCUGACCGAGUUCUCUGAAUCGGUCCCACCGAGUUUGGUGAUUUGUGUGUAACGGUUAGAUUUUGUGUGGAGGCUAUAUAUGCCCCUCCACCCACUCUUCAUUCGUGGAGAGAGCCAUCAGAACAGGCCUACACCUCCAAUACAUAUUUUCUGAGAGAGAACCACCUACACUUGUGUUGAGGUCAAGAUAUUCCAUUCCAACCACAUAAAUCUUGAUCUCUAGCCUUCCCCAAGUUGCUUUCCACUCAAAUCUUCUUUCCACAAAAUCCAAUCCUAUGAGAGAGAGUUGAGUGUUGGGGUGACUAUCAUUUGAAGCACAAGAGCAAGGAGUUCAUCAUCAACACACCAUUUGUUACUUCUUGGAGAGUGGUGUCUCCUAGAUUGGCUAGGUGUCACUUGGGAGCCUCCGUCAAGAUUGUGGAGUUGAACCAAGGAGUUUGUAAGGGCAAGGAGAUCACCUACUUCGUGAAGAUCUACCCUAGUGAGGCAAGUCCUUCGUGGGCGACGGCCAUGGUGGGAUAGACAAGGUUGCUUCUUCGUGGACCCUUCGUGGGUGGAGCCCUCCGUGGACUCGCGCAACCGUUACCCUUCGUGGGUUGAAGUCUCCAUCAACGUGGAUGUACGAUAGCACCACCUAUGGGAACCACGGAUAAAAAAUCUCCGUGUCAACAUUGUGUUUGCUCCCUCAAACUCCUCCCUUUACCUUCAUAUGCAAUUGUUUUACAUUCCGCUGCUAUACUCUUAGAAUUGCAUGUGUAGGUUGAUUGCUUGACUUGUUCUAAGUUGCUAAAAUCUACCAAGAACUAAAAUUGGGAAAAGGCUAGAUUUUUAUUUGGUCAAGUAGUCUAAUCACCCCCCCUCUAGACAUACUUUCGAUCCUACAAGUGGUAUCAGAGCUUUGGUCUCCAUUUGCUUUGAUUUCCAUAGCUUUUGGUGGUCAUAGCCUUGGUUUCACAACCUAGGAGAGUAUGGCGUCUAGCGAGGGAAAUUACCACCGUAGAGGUCCUUACUUUGAUGGUACAAAUUUUGCUAGUUGGAAGCAUAAGAUGAAAAUGCAUAUUCUUGGACAUAACCCCGCUGUUUGGGCUAUUGUGUGUAUUGGCUUGCAAGGUGAAUUCUUUGAUGGGAGAGAACCAAACCGUGAAGCUACCGCGGAAGAAUUGAAGAUGUUACAAUACAAUGCUCAAGCUUGUGAUAUUCUCUUCAAUGGAUUGUGCCCCGAAGAAUUCAACAAAAUCAGCCGUCUUGAGAAUGCAAAGGAAAUUUGGGAUACUUUGAUUGAUAUGCACGAAGGUACCGACUCCGUCAAGGAAUCCAAAUUGGAUGUGCUUCAAAGUCAACUUGACAAGUUCAAAAUGAAGGAUGGUGAAGGUGUCGCUGAAAUGUACUCUAGGCUUGCUCUCAUCACAAAUGAGAUUGCCGGCUUAGGAAGUGAAGAGAUGACCGACAAAUUCAUCAUCAGGAAGAUCCUAAGAGCCUUGGAUGGAAAAUAUGUUGAUCCAAAUGAUGCCCAAUUACAAAGAUCUCAAGCCAACGGAAGUCAUUGGAAGAAUUGUUGCUCAUGAGAUGUCACUCAAGGAUAAGGAAGAGCUUCACAACAAGUCUAGUGGUGCUUACAAAGCCUCGUGUGAUGCUCCCACAUCAUCAAGUGAGAAACAAACCUUCAAUGAAGAAUUGAGCCUAAUGGUCAAGAACUUCAACAAGUUCUACAAGAGUAGAAGCAAAGAAAGAAGUUCCAAGUCAAGGUCCUACAAUGACAAAAGAUCUUCCAGUCGUGAGCGAAAUUGCUACAAUUGUGGAAGACCCGGACACUGCUCCAAUGAGUGUACGGCCCCCUACAAAAGAAGAGAAGAUUCUCCCAAAAGAAGAAGUAGAAGAUAAGAAUCACCACCAAGAGAAAGGAGGAGUAGAGAUGAUCGUUAUGAACGAAGACCCUCUCGAGAAGCAAGGAUUCGGAAAGGAAAGUAAAGUCAUCAAGGAGCUACACAAAAAGAAGACAUCAAGCUCAUGUUGGUGAAUGGGUAUCCGGCUCCGACUCCGACAAUCACUCCGAAAGAAGUUAUCACUGCGACUCCGAAUAUACUCAAGAUGAAGGUGUUGCCGGUCUAGCACUUGUGUCAACCAACUCCUACGACAUAUUUGACUCACCAAAUGAAGGAAUUGGAAGAUGCUUCAUGGACAAAGGUCCAAAGGUAACACAUCCCGAGUAUGUUGAUUUCAAUAGUGAUGAAGAUGACUUGCUAGGUGAUGAUGAUUUACUUGUUGACAACUCUAGUGAUGAAAACUAUGAUGAAACGUCAAUUAAUCAUGCUAAUCAAGAUAAAACAAAUGAUGAUGAUAAGAAGGAGAUUGAGCGUCUAACUAAAGAACUAAACACUCUUAAGUUAGCUCAUGAAACUACCUUGGAAAAUCAUCGAGAACUUUUAAAGACUCAUGAUAAGCUACGCUUUGAAAAGCUCAACCUUGAGCAAGAGCAUGAGUUUUUAAAGGCAAUCAAUGAUGAUCUUCGCAAGAAAAGUUCUUCUUACAUUGCCAAGAGUUUACUCUUGUCUACUUACAUGCCACAAGUUAAAUCUAGUAACAAGAACAAGAAAGAUGCUUCAUCUAGUAGUAACGACAAACAUGCUAAAUCCAAUGUUGUUGCUUCUAGUAGUUCUCUUGAUUCCACUAAUGAUUCUCUUAGCCAAGUUACACUUGAGCAAGAAAAUAGCUUAUUGAAGGGAAUUAUAGAGAAAGGUGUUUACAAGAGCCUUGCCGGAAUUUAGCAAUUUGAGGAAAUUGCACGCAAGCAAGGAAGACACCGGAAGAAUCAAGGUGUUGGUUUUGAACGAAAGUUCAAUGCUAAUGGAGUUGAGUGGGAAGAAGAUCAAUACCCCAAGACGAAGUUUGUUCCUCAACAAGAGAAGUAUGAUCCUACUUCCUUCAAGGGGACACAAGCUCAAGAUGAUCUUCCACCACAAGACCACAAGCAAAAAGGCAAGGACAAGCUUCAAGAGGAAAUUGAUGCAUUUGAAGAAGCACCUAAGGCCUUGGUCAAGUGGGUUCCCAAGACUACAUCAAGUACUACUUCAUCAAGUACAACUACAACUCCGAGGAUUCCCAUCAAGAUGGUGUGGAUCCAGAAGAAGAAGAACUAGAGAGUUCUUGAGGGUGACUCCGCCAACAUACUUCACUCUUAUCAUUUUGGCAAGGACAAGUGCAAACAACUUCCAUAUCUUGCACUAGUUCAAGGAGUCACAAACCCUCUUGUUGGUAAGACAAGGGACAAGGUAACCUAAUGCUUUCAUGGACAUCAUCUUGUGUAUGCAUCACUCUAUGUCUAUGGAUAUCCUUGUUUGUUCCUUGUGGGACUAACCCGUGUAGGUAUUGAAAGUGCAACUCACUCCAAAGGAUUGCUCCAAAUGAUCUAUAUCAACAUUGAGCAUCUACAUCUUCAACACCUACAUGAAGUCAUCAUCGACAAAACCCAAGGUUAGUUCAUCCCUCUUAAGGGGGGAUAUCACAUCUGGGGGGAGCUUUACUCUAAUCAAUUGAGUUAAAGCAACUCUAAUGGUGUGAACACAACAAUGCUUUAUGUAAAAGUGGUAACCCCACUUGUGCUUAAACGAUGAGUAUGACCUAUGAUCAAAUGUUCUCAUUUGACUCCUAUGUCAAUUUACUCAUAUAUAGAUGACCUAGUCAUCGCAAAAUUGCUUGGUAGAUGCUAGAGUGUUUGUGCAUGCUUUGUCACAUAUUUCAUUUGCCAUUUUAUUGUGUGAGCAUGUUGGUUGCAUAUUUUACUCAUUCGAGGACAUCCAUUUGUUGUUUUGAUUGUUAGGCUCUCUCUUUUGCCAAAUGGAUGGACAAGAAUGCCUAAGAACUCCCUCUAGCUAUCUAUGCUUUCCUCGUCUCAAACUCUAUUCAUGCUACAUCACAAAGUUUGAUCAAGUCAGAUUCGAACCACUCUGUGUGAGGAGCACUCGGAGUUCCCGAUUCGUCAUAGACUUAAACCUCUAAAACCUCUUUGUGCAUCUCGGUCUGACCGAUUCAUCCUUUUCGGUCCUACUAAGUCACUAAGUUGAUCUAGGGUUUUCAAUCUCGGUGCAACCGUUUAGAACUUUUCGGUCACACCGAGUUGCAGUAACUGCUUGCAGUUUUGCAUCUCGGUGCCACCGAGUCAUUCCACUCGGUCACACCGACAGGGUCAGGUUAUAUAUACCGCCGGGCCAAAUUUUGGAAAAAUUUCCGAACCCUCUCGCCCGUGCAUAACCUGCUCUGCCUCUUCGGGUCUCCGGAUCGUCCUCUCGCCACCAGCGACCUCCCGGCGCUGGUCUCCGCCGCCGUCAACGGAAAUCUUCACCGUCGUUGCCGCCGUAGCAAGUUCGUCGCCGAACUAGGGUACGAACUUGAUCAUUGUGCUAAUCCCUAACUCCGAUUCUUAGCACAUUACUUUGCCAUGAUUCUUGCCACGAUUGAAAUCAUCCUGUCCAGCAAAAACAUCCCGUAGAUUAGUCUUGAUUUGAAAAUUUAGGGUUAGGUCUCCGCCGAAUUCAUCUCGGACCGACCGAGUUGUAGAAAUCGGUCUCACCGAUUUUGGCUUAGGCCAAAGCACACGCGUUUUCGGUCUGACCGAAAACUGCAAAUCGGUGUGACCGAGUUAGAUUCUUUGUGAAACCCUAGCAGUCUCGGUACCACCGAACUGUGACUUGGUCUGACCGAGUUCACUAGUUUAGGUUCCAAAAGCUGCUUCGGUAUCACCAAGUUUACAAAUCGGUAGAUCCGAAAUGCUUUCUGUGAAGAACUAAAACUAAGUUUUUAAGUCAUCCUUUUUGCAAAACUCAUGUACUUUGUGAUGCUCAUCUACUCUACCUCAUCUAUAACCUAUUCACAGGGUCUGCUGUCAGAGUAUUUGCAGAGAUGUCUGACCAGAGUGAUAGUCAGAACAGGUCUGAGCAACAUGUGCACUUGAGUGAGGGUUCAGAUCCCUCUAGCAGCUAUGAUGAAGGCAGCAGGAGCACUCCAAGCAAUCUGCCAAAGGCUGCCACCAAGACAAGGAAAAAGAGGAAUUCUGACUCUGAGGAUGAAGAUUAUGUGGCUGUUGAAGAUGAAGCCACUUCAAAGAAGAAAGUGCUAAAGAAGGAGUAUGGCACAGCUGCUGCAACUAAGCCAGGUCUGAAAACAAAGAUGCCAGCAAAAAGACAACACUGUUGUGAUGAAUGAGAAUGAACCAUCUUCAGCUCAAGCACAUGAAAAGAGAGAGAAGGCUAAGGCAGAGAAGGCUGCAAAGAUGCCAACUAUGGAAGAGGCAUCUCAGGUAUUCUUGAAGAGCAAGCAAGACCAGCUUGGAUAUCUGAUCCAAUCCACCCCGAGGAUUGAGAAGGGCUUGGCCACCCUGACCAAGAACCAGGAGAGCUUGGAAAGGAUUAUUGAGCAGAAAUUCUAUGACCUUGAUGUCAAGGUAACAGAAAUCCAAACUGCAGUUGAGCAACUUCAGGAGGAAGCAGAGGAGAAGAAGGGCAAGUCUACCACAGAUGCUUUUGCCAGAGUGCCCAGAGGACAGAGAUCUGCUGCAGUGCCAGUGACAGACACUAGAGCCACAACAUCAACACCAGCAGCUAUAGCUCCAGUUCCACCUCCAGCAGCUACUCCACCAGCUCCCGCUACUUCAUCAGAAGCCCUCGUCCUUGGAGUUCUCUCAACACCACCUCCCGAAGAUCAAGCCUGAGAGUCGUUUAGCACUAUGCAUUUUCAAACUUUUUGGUAACUUGUUGCCAAAGGGGGAGAAAAAUGUAUAGAUCAUAGGCUUCGAGAGAGAGAGAGAGUGUUGGUUUUUAUCUCUCUUUGCACUUAUUUGGUUUGGUUUGAAACUUUAUUGUGUGCUUGUGAUGCUACUUUAUGUCCUUGUGAGAUACUUGUUGAUCAUGUGUUUGAUCAUAUGCUACCCUUAAUGCUUGUUGGAUCAUAUUAUCUUUAUAUCCUCUUAUGAUCAUUCACUUUGCUUGGUGAUGAGUGCAUGUGUUUUAAUUUCUAUCAUUUUGAGCGCUCCACCAAGAUGAAUGUGACAUGGAAGAGUAACCCAUGAUCCUAAUUGAUUGUGCAUUUGCAUUCAAAAGCAAAUUUUAAAUAAUGCACAAAUUUAGGGGGGAGCUCUUGCUUAUCACAUACUUCUCAAAGCGACGAUGUUUUUCAAUUUUAUCAUUUGUCGAAGCUUUGAUCUAUAUGUUGUCAUCAAUUACCAAAAAGGGGGAGAUUGAAAGUACAACUAUCCCUGGGUGGUUUUGGUAAUUCCUAACAACAUAUAGCUCAUUGAGCUAAUGCUAUUUCAAGAUAGAUAUUUCAGGAAAGCUCAAUGAUUGGCAUGGCAUGGAUUAGAAAGUGGACCCUUCAAAUUGCUAAGGACAAAAGAUUGGCUCAAGCUCAAAGCACAAGACCCUACAUUUUCUAUUUUAGUGAUCCAAGAUCACAUUGAGUCUAUAGGAAAAGCCAAUACUAUUAAGAAGGGAUGAGGUGUUGCUUAAUGAGGUGCUUGCUCAAAAUGCUUAGUGAUAUGCUCCAAAACCCUCCACUACUUUCUCAUAUCCACAUAUAUCCCAAACCAAAAGUCCAACUCAUCCCCACCGAUUCUUUCUAUCCGGCGCCACCGAGUUCAGUUGACAUAGCCACUGCCAGAAACCCUAGUCUUUUCGGUCUCACCGACAGGGAUCUCGAUCUCACCGAGAUGGGAUUGUAAUCUCUCUGUUUCCCUUCGUAACAUUUCGGUCCAACCGAGAUGAGCGACCGGUCCCACCGAGAUUGCAAUGCAAACACUCUGUUUCCCUUUCGUAACGUUUCGGUCCAACCGAGAUGAGCGAAUCGGUACCACCGAGUUUGCCUGACCAACUCUCUGUUUGACUAUUACCAAAAUCGGUCCCACCGAGUUUGUGUAAUCGGUCACACCGAGAUUACGUUAUGCCCUAACCCUAAUGAUAUCGGUCCCACCAAUUUGACAUGUCGGUCCCACCGAAACACCUAACGGUCACAUUAUGAACCAAAUCGGUCUGACCGAGUUCUCUGAAUCGGUCCCACCGAGUUUGGUGAUUUGUGUGUAACGGUUAGAUUUUGUGUGGAGGCUAUAUAUGCCCCUCCACCCACUCUUCAUUCGUGGAGAGAACCAUCAGAACAUGACUACACUUCCAAUGCAUAUUUUCUGAGAGAGAACCACCUACACUUGUGUUGAGGUCAAGAUAUUCCAUUCCAACCACAUAAAUCUUGAUCUCUAGCCUUCCCCAAGUUGCUUUCCACUCAAAUCUUUUUUCCACCAAAUCCAAUCCUAUGAGAGAGAGUUGAGUGUUGGGGAGACUAUAAUUUGAAGCACAAGAGCAAGGAGUUCAUCAUCAACACACCAUUUGUUACUUCUUGGAGAGUGGUGUCUCCUAGAUUGGCUAGAUGUCACUUGGGAGCCUCCGUCAAGAUUGUGGAGUUGAACCAAGGAGUUUGUAAGGGCAAGGAGAUCGCCUACUUCGUGAAGAUCUACCCUAGUGAGGCAAGUCCUUCGUGGGUGACGGCCAUGGUGGGAUAGACAAGGUUGCUUCUUCAUGGACCCUUCGUGGGUGGAGCCCUCCGUGGACUCGCGCAACCGUUACCCUUCGUGGGUUGAAGUCUCCAUCAACGUGGAUGUACGAUAGCACCACCUAUCGGAACCACGGAUAAAAAAUCUCCGUGUCAACAUUGCGUUUGCUCCCUCAGACUCCUCCCUUUACCUUCAUAUGCAAUUGUUUUACAUUCCGCUGCUAUACUCUUAGAAUUGCAUGUGUAGGUUGAUUGCUUGACUUGUUCUAAUUUGCUAAAAUCUGCCAAGAACUAAAAUUGGGAAAAGGCUAGAUUUUUAUUUGGUCAAGUAGUCUAAUCACCCCCCUCUAGACAUACUUUUGAUCCUACAACUUGGUUCUAGAUACCAUACUAAUCUUACUUUGCAAUUAUUAGUCAUUAGUAGGUAAAUAAAAGUGAUUAUUUCAAAAGUAUGUGAAAUUACCUGGUUUAAAAACUAGUAAAAUGAGUGUACAAUUCACUCAUCAACCUCCCCAAGCUUAAAUCUUCAUCAUGCUCGAGCAAGAAACAAGACCAUAAGGAAGUCAGUGCUAAAACCAAAAUAAUGAGAAGGUUUUAUGGUCGGUAUGCCUCGAUAGCCCAUCGGUUUCUUCACAUGAAAACUUAGCAUAGUUGUAACAGUGGCAACGGUUGCUAUGCAAGUUUGUUAGGCUAAGACGAAUGGAAAAAUGUAUUAACUUAGACAAUGUAGUUUUGCCUUUUUAAAAACAUUUAAUAGAAGGUUAGAUGUCUCGCAGUAUAAUUUUUGAACAGUGUAGGGAGGAUGACGUGAACUUCUUGCAAACAACCUUUUAGGCUUUUAAUUUUUAAUUCUUUUCUUUCUCAUGUGAAAUGCACCCCGUGUAGUAGUUGAACUGCUUGCUAUUUCACUUUGAACUUCUAUCACGUAUUUUUGUUCGUAAUUCCUCACCCGUUUUAUCAGAGUUGCACAAAUGAUAUACCAUUAGAAACUUGUUGAAAAGACGCAACUCUUUUCAUAGGGUUAAACUUUUCUUUUCGAACAACAUUCACCAAUUUAUUUUAACUGUUUGUUUUGGAAUAAGAAUGUUAUACAACCUUCGAAAGUUGUUGAAUAUGAGGAACUUUUUUCAUGUAGAACAUUUUUACUUCAAAAUUGUAAUGGAUUGAGAGAAUUUUUGUAUAACACCAAAAACAACUUUUCGUGUGUGUUUUUGAACAUGUAAAUACAUGGUGAACCUCUCUCUAAAGAAGGUUUGAACUUUCCCAUGCCGAGCACCUGAACUUCUAGCAACAAACUUUUUAUACUUUGCCUUCUUAUUCCUUUUUCCAUAUCAAAACACACACCAUGCAGUACGUGGACUUCUCAUUGUUUUCAAUUUGAACUGAUCUCUAAUUUGUUGCCGCUGACUCCUAAAGCACUCAUCAAAUUUGACCAACUGAUAAAAAUAGAAAACUAUUGGAAAGUGUUUUUUACAAAAUCAUGAUGGGUUACGAGCAUCUUUUUGAACACGCUAAAACUUCUUUUGAACGAUAUACAAGAAAGAUUCAAAUUAUAUUACGGGAAGAACGUGUAUGAUAUACCAUUGGGAAACUUAUGUCAUAGAAGUAAUUUUUUCAUGUAGACAACUUUUUCAAAUUCAUUGUCAUUUAUGGGUAGGUUUGAAAAUGCUAAAAAAAUGGCAUAGAUUUUUUAACUUGUAAAUUCUAGGUUUUUUUUUUAACUUUGAACUUCUUUGUUAUUUUAAUUUGAACUUCUCCUUUUUUUCUAACUCGCGGCAGUUUUAAGAGCUUUUUUUAAUAUGUUGAAAGUUAUUUAUUUUUUCAAACGAUAUAGACCAAAAUUUAAAACCAUUUAUCGGAAUAGAUCAUAUGAUUUUUUUUGUUGGAGGGAGUUUGAAUAGGUAGAAAGCCUGGCAUGUAGAGAGUUUUUAAUUUGAUUAUUUAGUAUACAUCGAACUAUUCCGUUUUUAAGUUGAACUUUUUGUUUUUAUUCUCUAUGAACAAGGAGAAUCUUACUUUUUUGAACAUUGAAUUGCUCUAUUUUUUACUUUGGACUUCUUGGUUUUUAUUCUUAAGUACGAUAAAAAAUCUGAGUUUUGUAAAUUUUGAACUUCUCCACUUUUUAAAGUUGAACUUCUUGGCUUUAUUCAUUAUUAACGAGGAAAAUCUGAGUUUUUUUAUAUAGAGUGAACUACUCUGUUUUUUAAAUUUGAACUUCCUGGUUUUAUUCUUUUGUAUUGAGGUAAAUCCCCUUUUUAUAAAAUUAAAAGUGCUCUGUUUUUUAAUAAAACAUACUUCUUAAAAUAGUUUUUUUAUAACUUCUAUACAAAUAUACCCAUACAUAACUCAUUACGUUGUCUUCCUUAUCCAACUUCAACUAAUUUACUCAAGUUUGAAAAUAAUUAAUGGGUUUGCACAAUCAUAAAAGAUGUCCCAGAUAAUAUAUUUAUAUGUGAAAGUUCUAUUCAUUAUACUAAUCAUUCAUGAAUUGCUUGUAUGGCCAACAUUGUGAUUGUCAAACUUCAAUAGAUUUUGCUUUCUAAACCCAAUGUGAAACUACUACUAGGCAUGAUACAAGCAUAUGAAGCACAUAUAAUUUCAAGUUUAUGAUAUUCAAUUCCUUCAACAAUUUACUCUUAUGAUAUAAGUGAAGAACGAGAGUAAAUGACAAACUACUCCAAAAAGAUAUAAGUGAAGAUCAAAUGAGUAGUCAAAUAAGGAAGUAGCUAUGUGAGGAUCUCUCUCAUUUAAAAUUUUCAGAUCUUAAGUAUUUUAUUCAAACAGCAAACAAAGCAAAAUAAAAUGACAUUCCAAGAAUAGCACAUAUCAUGUGAACAAGUAAAAACUUAGGCUCAACCAAAACUAACUGAUAGUUGUUGAUGAAGAAAGAUGGGAUGCCUACCGGGGCAUCCCCAAGCUUAGAUGCUUGAGACUUCUUGGAAUAUUAAAUUGGGAUGCCUUGGGCAUCCCCAAGCUUGAGCUCUUGUGUCUCCUUAAUUCCUCUCAUAUCACAGUUUCCCAAAAUCACAAAAACUUCAUCCACGCAAAAGUCAACAAGAACUCGUGAGAUAAGUUAGUAUAAAUCAAGGCAAAACCUUAUCAUUCUCUCCUGUAGAAAAUCACUAAAAUUAUAACUUGACAUUUGAUAACCCACAAGUAUAGGGGUCAAUUGUAGCCUCUUUCGAUAAGUAAGAGUGUUGAACCCAACGAGGAGCUAAAGGUAGAACAAAUAUUCCCUCAAGUUCUAUCGACCACCGAUACAACUCUAUGCACGCUUAACGUUCGCUUUACCUAGAACAAGUAUGAAACUAGAAGUACUUUGUAGGUGUUGUUGGAUAGGUUUGCAAGAUAAUAAAGAGCACGUAAAUAAAAACUAGGGGUUGUUUUAGGUAAAGAAGCAAUAAAUUUAGUAUAGCAAGUGUGGAAAAGUGGUGGUAGGAGUUGCGAAAUUGUCCCUAAGCAAUUGACUACUUUACUAGACCGAUAGCAAAUUUUAUGUGGGAGAGGCCACUGCUAGCAUGUCAUCCCUGACUUGGAAUUCUAUGCACUUACGAUUGGAACUAUUAGCAAGCAUCCACAACUACUAACGUUCAUUAAGGUAAAAAACAACCAUAGCAUUAAGAUAUAUUGGUCCCCCUUCAAUCCCGUAUGCAUCAAUUUCUAUGCUAGGUUCAAGCUUCUGUCACUCUUGCCCUCCAAUACAUAGUCCUAUCAACAUACAACUAACCCUAUGGUGUGAUCCAUGCGCGCGCUCAUAUGAUGGGCACCAAAGGACAGCAACAUAACCUCAAGCAAAUUAAACCAAUCAUAGCAAUUCACCAAUUACUGAUAGGAUAACGAAAAUCUACUCGGACAUCAUAGGAUGGCAACACAUCAUUGGAUAAUAAUAUGAAGCAUAAAGCACCAUGUUCAAGUAGAGGGUACAUCGGGUUGCGGGAGAGUGGACCAUUGUAGAUAGAUGGGGGAAGGUGAUGAAGAUGUUGGUGAAGAUGACGGAGGUGUUGGUGUAGAUUGCGAUGACGAUGAUGGCCCCGGCAGCGUUCCGGCACCACCGGAAGAGAGGGGGAGAGAGCCCCCUUCUUAUUCUUCCUUGACCUUCUCCCUAGAUGGGAGAAGGGUUUCCCCUCUAAUCCUUGGCUUGGGAGGGGCGAGAGCCCCUCCGAGAUUGGAUCUGUCUCUCUCUGUUUCUGCGUUCCCCGAUUCUGCCCUUUCACCGUUUCUUAAAUUCCCGGAGAUCCGUAACUCCGAUUGGGCUGAAAUUUGGACACGAUUUUUAUCCGGAUAUUGGAUUUCUUGCGGCGAAAGAAGGGUACCAACCGCCUUACGGAGUGGCCACGAGGGCCCAGGGCGCGCCCUACCCCCUGGGGCGCGCCCCUCACCCUUGUGGGCCCCUCGGGCAUCGCCUCGCGUUGAUUCCACUUCCCAAAAUUCACAUAUAUUCCAAAAAAAAUCUCCGUAAGUUUUUAUCCCGUUUGGACUCUGUUUGAUAUGGAUUUUCUGCGAAACAAAAAACAUGCAACAAACAAGAACUGGCACUGGGCACUGGAUCAAUAUGUUAGUCCCAAAAAUAGUAUAAAAAGUUGCCAAAAGUAUGUAAAAGUUGUAGAAUAUUGGCAUGGAACAAUCAAAAAUUAUAGAUACGACGGAGACGUAUCAGCAUCCCCAAGCUUAAUUCUUGCUCGUCCUCGAGUAGGUAAAUGAUAAAAAGGAUAAUUUUUGAUGUGGAAUGCUACCUAGCAUAAUCUUGAUCAUGUAAUCUAAUCAUGGCAUGAAUAUUAAGACACAAGUGAUUCAAAGCAAUAGUCUAUCAUUUGACAUAUUAAGACAAUAAUACUUCAAGCAUACCAAUAAAGCGAUCGUGUCUUUUCAAAAUAACAUGGCCAAAGAAAGUUUCCCUACAAAAUCAUAUAGUCUGGCUAUGCUCCAUCUUCACCACACAAAAUAUUCAAAUCAUGCACAACCCAAUGACAAGCCAAGCAAUUGUUUCAUACUUUUGAUGUUCUCAAACCUUUUCAACUUUCACGCAAUACAUGAGCGUGAGCCAUGGAUAUAGCACUAUAGGUGGAAUAGAAUAUGAUGGUGGAGGUUGUGUGGAGAAGACAAAUAGGAAAAAAGUCUCACAUCAACGCGGCUAAUCAAUGGGCUAUGGAGAUGCCCAUCAAUUAAUGUCAAUGCGAGGAGUAGGGAUUGCCAUGCAACAGAUGCACUAGAGCUAUAAAGUGUAUGUAAGCUCAAACUGAAAACUAAGUGGGUGUGCAUCCAACUUGCUUGCUCAUGAAGACCUAGGGCAUUUGAGGAAGCCCUGAUGUCUACUACGCAACCUUCUUCUUGUAGACGUUGUUGGGCCUCCAAGUGCAGAGGUUUGUAGGCCAGUAGCAAAUUUCCCUCAAGUGGAUGACCUAAGGUUUAUCAAUCCGUGGGAGGCGUAGGUUGAAAAUGGUCUCUCUCAAACAAACCUGCAACCAAAUAACAAAGAGUCUCUUGUGUCCCCAACACACCCAAUACAAUGGUAAAUUGUAUAGGUGCACUAGUUCGGCGGAGAGAUGGUGAUACAAGUGCAAUAUGGAUAGUAGAUAUAGGUUUUUGUAAUCUGAAAAUAUAAAAACAGCAAGGUAACAAGCGAUAAAAGUGAGCGUAAACGGUAUUGCAAUGCUAGGAAACAAGGCCUAGGGUUCAUACUUUCGCUAGUGCAAGUUCUCUCAACAAUAAUAACAUAAUUGGAUCAUAUAACUAUCCCUCAACAUGCAACAAAGAGUCACUCCAAAGUCACUAAUAGCAGAGAACAAACGAAGAGAUUAUUGUAGGGUACGAAACCACCUCAAAGUUAUUCUUUCGGAUCGAUCUAUCAUAGAGUUCAUACUAGAAUAACACCUUAAGACACAAAUCAACCAAAACCCUAAUGUCACCUAGAUACUCCAAUGUCACCUCAAGUAUCCGUGGGUAUGAUUAUACGAUAUGAAUCAAACAAUCUCAGAUUCAUCUAUUCAACCAACACAUAGAACUUCAAAGAGUGCCCCAAAGUUUCUACCGGAGAGUCAAGACGAAAACGUGUGCCAACCCCUAUGCAUAAGUUCACGAGCGGAACCCGCAAGUUGAUCACCAAAACAUACAUCAAGUGGAUCACGUGAUAUCCCAUUGUCACCACAGAUAAGCACAUGCAAGACAUACAUCAAGUGUUCUCAAAUCCUUAAAGACUCAAUCCGAUAAGAUAACUUCAAAGGGAAAACUCAAUCCAUUACAAGAGAGUAGAGGGGGAGAAACAUCAUAAGAUCCAACUAUAAUAGCAAAGCUCGCGAUACAUCAAGAUCGUACCACCUCAAGAACACAAGAGAGAGAGAGAGAGAGAUCAAACACAUAGCUACUGGUACAUACCCUCAGCCCCGAGGGUGAACUACUCCCUCCUCGUCAUGGAGAGCGCCGGGAUGAUGAAGAUGGCCACCGGUGAUGGAUCCCCCCCCCGGCAGGGUGCCGGAACAGGGUCCCGAUUGGUUUUUGGUGGCUACAAAGGCUUGCGGCGGCGGAACUCCCGAUCUAUUCUGUUCUCCGAUGUUUUUAGGGUAUAUGGAUAUAUAUAGGCGAAAGAAGUCGGUCAGGGGAGCCAUGAGGGGCCCACGAGGGUGGGGGUGCGCCUCCCUGCCUCGUGGCUUCCUCGAAGCUUCCCUGACGUCUACUCCAAGUCUCCUGGAUUGCUUCCGUUCCAAAAAUAACUCUCCCGAAGGUUUCAUUCCGUUUGGACUCCGUUUGAUAUUCCUUUUCUUCGUAACACUGACAUAGGCAAGAAAACAGCAAUUUGGGCUGGGCCUCCAGUUAAUAGGUUAGUCCCAAAAAAUAUUAUAAAAGUGUUUAGUAAAGCCCAUAAACAUCCAAAACAGAUAAUAUAAUAGCAUGAAUACUUCAUAAAUUAUAGAUACGUUGGAGACGUAUCAGCAUCCCCAAGCUUAAUUCAUGCUCGUCCUCGAGUAGGUAAAUAAUAAAAGAAAUAAUUUAUGAAGUGUGAAUGCUAGCAGGUGCACAAGUUUGACCAAUGAUAAUUUCAAUCACCUUUUCUAGCAUCAUCAUAUGUCAUAACAGUAGCUCAUCUCAUAAAAAUUUUCAUGAUCAAGUAACAAACUAUUCAGAUGUUAAAGUAUAGAUCAUAAACUUUCUUGAAAACUAACAAACUGUGUUAUUAGUCAUCAAACAAUUACAAUUCAUCUUAUUUUCAGGAAGAGUCUAUGUCAGAGCUUUGAUUCAGCAAACUUCACAUACUCAACUAUCAUUUAGUCUUUCAUAAUUGCUAACACUCACGCGAUAUUUAUGGGUUCAAAGUUUCAAUCAGACACAGAGAAAGAUAGGGGCUUAUAGAUUCGCCUCCCAACCUUUUACCUCAAGGGUAAUGUCAACAAUAAUAGUUCAUGAUGCCUUACAUCCAAUUGGAUAUAUAUAUCAGGAUCUUUUCAACACAAUGUGCUUGCCAAAGGAUAAAAUGUAAAAAGGAAAGGUGAAGAUCACCAUGACUCUUGCAUAAGGUAUAAAACAAGAAUAAAAGAUAGGCCCUUCGCAGAGGGAAGCAGAGGUUGUCAUGCGCUUUUAUAGUUGGAUGCACAAAAUCUUAAUGCGAAAGAACGUCACUUUAUAUUGCCACUUGUGAUAGGGACCUCUAUUAUGCAGUCCAUCGCUUUUAUUGCUUCCACAUCACAAGAUCGUAUAAAGCUUAUUUUCUCCACACUAAUAGAUCCUACAUAUUUAGAGAGCAAUUUUUAUUGCAUGCACCGAUGACAACUUACUUGAAAGAUAUUAAUCAAUCCAUAGGUAGGUAUGGUGGACUCUCAUGGCAAUACUGUUUUAAGGGAUGUUUGGAAGCACAAGUAGUAUCUCUACUUGGUGCAAAGAAUUUGGCUAGCAUGAGGGGGAAAGGCAAGCUCAACAUGUUGGAUGAUCCAUGACAAUAUACUUUAUUUUAGAUAUAAGAAAACAUAACCCAUUACGUUGUCUUCCUUGUCCAACAUCAACCUUUUAACAUGUCAUAUUUUAAUGAGUGCUAGAUGUCCAAGAUAGUAUAUUUAUAUGUGAAAUCUCUCUUCCUUCAAUAUUCUUUCAUGAAUUGUUCAAGUGACCAAUACAAUGUUUGCUAACCUUCAAUAAAUUUACCACAUCUACUUCUUAUAUGUGAAGUCAUUACUCCCCAUGGGAUACGUAUAUGAAACAUAUAUAAAUUUCAGAUUUAUGAUAUUCAAAUCAUUCAACUAUUUACUCAUAGGAUAUAAGUGAAGCACACGAGUAAAUGACAAACUACUCCAAAAAGAUAUAAGUGAAGAUCAAUGAGUAGUUAAAUAAUUAUUUAGCUAUGUGAAGAAUCUCCCAUUUAAUAAUUUCAGAUCUUGAUAUUUUAUUCAAACAUCAAGCAAAACAAAAUAAAAUUAAAUUCUAAGAAUAGCAAACAUCACGUGAAGAAGCAAAAACUUAGGAUCAACCGAUACUAACCGAUAGUUGUCGAAGAAGAAAGGUGGGAUGCCAACCGGGGCAUCCCCAAGCUUAGACGCUUGAGACUUCUUGAAAUAUUAUCUUGGGAUGCCUUGGGCAUCCCCAAGCUUGAGCUUUUGUGUCUCCUUAAUUCCUCUCAUAUCACGGUCUCCCUAAAUCUCAAAAGCUUCAUCCACACAAAACUCAACGAGGACUCGUGAGAUACGUUAGUAUAAACCAAUGCAAAAAACCUUAUCAUACUCUACUAUAGCAAAUCACUAAAAUUAUUAUUCAACAUUGCAUACUAAAUGCCUCUGCAUAUUUAAUAGUCCUAUCCUCAAAUAGAAUCAUUAAACAAGCAAACAUAUGCAAACAAUGCAAACAUAAUAGCAAUCUGCCUAAACAGGACAGUCUGUGAAGAAUGCAGCAAGAUCCAUACUUCCCUAGCUCCAAAAAUUAUGAAAGAAAAUUCCCACUGUAUUAAAUUUAUCAGAUAUUAUUAUGCAACAGGUUUCAGCAUUUUAUCACAUUCUGACUUUUCUAGGGAAUUUUUGCAACAGUGGUAAACUUUCUGUUUUCAAACAGCAACAUGUAGACUUGUAAAAUAGGCAUAGUAAAGGCCAUCAAUGCCACUUUUAUUGAAAUAAAAUAUGCAAGACAUUGUUCUAAAUAACAGCAAACAAAUACUAACAAAAUAAAUUGACGCUCCAAGCAAAACACAUAUCAUGUGGUGAAUAAAAAUAUAGCUCCAAGUAAAGUUACCGAUGAAUGAAGACGAAAGAGGGGAUGCCUUCCGGGGCAUCCCCAAGCUUAGGCUCUUGGUUGUCCUUAAAUAUUGCCUUGGGGUGCCUUGGGCAUACCCAAGCUUAGGCUCUUGCCACUCCUUAUUCCAUAGUCCAUCGAAUCUUUACCCAAAACUUGAAAACUUCACAACACAAAACUCAACAGAAAACUUGUAAGCUCCGUUAGUAUAAGAAAAUGAAUCACCACUUAGUUACUGUUGUGAACUCAUUAUAAAUUCAUAUUGGUGUAAUAUUUACUGUAUUCCAACUUCUCUAUGGUUCAUACCCUCCGUUACUACUCAUAGACUCAUCAAAAUAAGCAAACAACACACUGAAAACAGAAUCUGUCAAAAACAGAACAGUCUGUAGUAAUAUGUAUCAAACAUAUACUUCUGGAACUCCAAAAAUUCCAAAAUAAAUUGGUGGACCUGAGAAAUUUAUCUAUUAAUCAUAUGCAAAAAGAAUCAACCUAAAAUCACUCUCCAGUAAAAAGUGGCAGCUAAUCUCGUGAGCGCUAAAGUUUCUGUUUUUUACAGCAUGAUCAUAAAGACUUCACCCAAGUCUUCCCAAAGGUUCUACUUGGCACAAACACUAAUUAAAACAUAAAAACACAUCUAACCAGAGGCUAGAUAGAUUAUUUAUUGCUAAAUAGGAGCAAAAAUCAAGGAACAAAAAUAAAAUUGGGAUGCCUCGCAACAAGCGCUAACGUUUAACGCCCCUAGCUAGGCAUGAUGAUUUCAAUGAUGCUCACAUAAAAGAUAAGAAUUGAAACAUAAAGAGAGCAUCAUGAAGAAUAUGACUAGCACAUUUAAGUCUAACCCACUUCCUAUGCAUAGGGAUUUUGUGAGCAAAUAACUUAUGGGAACAAUAAUCAACUAGCAUAGGAAGGCAAAACAAGCAUAACUUCAAAACUUUAAGCACAUAGAGAGGAAACUUGAUAUUAUUGCAAUUCCUACAAGCAUAUAUUCCUUCCUCAUAAUAAUUUUCAGUAGCAUCAUGAAUGAAUUCAACAAUAUAACCAUGACAUAAAGCAUUCUUUUCAUGAUCUACAAGCAUAGAAAUUUUAUUACUCUUCACAUAAGCAAAAUUCUUCUCAUUCAGAAUAGUGGGAGUAUCAUAAGAAACUCGAAUACUAUAAAUUGUUUCCACAUUAAAAGAGUAAUGUUCAGAAAAUGGGUGAUCAUAAUCAUGACAAGUUUUAUAAACAUAAUCAUCACUACUCUUUAUAGCAUAAGUAUCAUCACAAUAAUCAUCAUAGGUAGCAACUUUGUUCUCAUCAUAAUUGAUUGAAACCUCUUCCAAGAUAGUGGAAUCAUUACUAAAUAAGGUCAUGACCUCUCCAAAUCCACUUUCAUAAUUAUAAUCAUCAUAUGUAGGAGGCAUUCUAUCAUAAUAAUAAAUUUGCUCAUCAAAACUUGGGAGGCUAAACAUAUCAUCUUCAUAAAACAUAGCAUCCCCAAGCUUGGGACUGACAUUAAUUUCAGCAAAUAUAUUCUCAAACUUGUCAUUCUCAUCAAACAUAGCAUCCCCAAGCUUGGGCCUUUUCAUAUCAUAAGCAUAAUCACUCUCAUCAUUAAUAGUAUGGAUAGCACCAAUAGUAUAGCAAUUAUCAUCAUCACAAUGAGUAAUAGGAGCAACAUCAUUUGGGAGGGAUACCUUUCUACCUUUGCUUCUCCGUCUUUUCUUUUUCUUCUUCACAUCAUGUGUGGGUUUAACCCUCUUUUUUGAGCUCCUUAUCAAUGAGAUUGGUUGAAUAGAAGGCUCCUCCUCGUUACCUGAUUCAUCAUAAGAAAUAAUAGGAGGAUAUUGGGAAGCCUCUUCCCUUUCGUUAGUAUUCUCUUCCUCUUCUAUUUGUUUUCUUGUCUUUAUGUAAUUGGCAAUAUAAGGAUUUUCAAUGCAAUUCACCGCACAAUACAUAAAAAUUUCUUCUAGAUCAAAAUCAAGAACUUUAUCAAGGACAUAUUCUGGAAGAUCCUUAGUACGUUUCAUUUCUUCAUAACCCAAAAGAAAACUAAGUUCAUUAUGAUAUGCAAGGGAAAUCAAGUCAUCGCAAUUCUUGGACACGAUUCGAUCAUGAAACAAUUUGCAUUGGAGACUUAAAUGACCACGUUCACUGCAAAGUUCACAAGUACGACUAAGAAAGUUUAAAUUUUCAGCACAAACAUCUAGCCUUUCUUGCAACCAUUUAGUUUCCAAAUACUUAUGCCUCUUGCAAAAUCUAUAUUCCCUAUUUGGUGUGUACUUGCAAACUCUAUGCGCUCCACAAAAAUUGACAUGCUUAUAAGAGAUGUUUUCAUCAUGACUAGUGCAAUCAUCAUUAGUACUAUGGAUAUUCAAAGAGUUCAUACUAACAACAUUGCAAUCAUGUUCAUCAUUAAGAGAUUUAGUGCCAAACAUUCUAAUGCAUUCUUCUUCUAGCAAUUGAGCACAAUUAUCGGAAUCCUUAUUUUCAUGAAAGAUAUUAAAAAGAUGAAGCAUAUGAGGCACCCUCAAUUCCAUUUUUUUGUAGUUUUCUUUUAUAGAAUAAACUAGUGAUAAAACAAGAAACAAAAAGAUUCGAUUGCAAGAUCUAAAGAUAUACCUUCAAGCACUCACCUCCCCGGCAACGGCGCCAGAAACUGCUUGAUGUCCACUAUGCAACCUUCUUCUUGUAGACGUUGUUGGGCCUCCAAGUGCAGAGGUUUGUAGGACAGUAGCAAAUUUCCCUCAAGUGGAUGACCUAAGGUUUAUCAAUCUGUGGGAGGCGUAGGUUGAAGAUGGUCUCUCUCAAACAACCCUGCAACCAAAUAACAAAGAGUUUCUUGUGUCCCCAACACACCCAAUACAAUGGUAAAUUGUAUAGGUGCACUAGUUCGGCGAAGAGAUGGUGAUACAAGUGCAAUAUGGAUAGUAGAUAUAGGUUUUUGUAAUCUGAAAAUAUAAAAACAGCAAGGUAACAAGCGAUAAAAGUGAGCGUAAACGGUAUUGCAAUGCUAGGGAACAAGGCCUAGGGUUCAUACUUUCACUAGUGCAAGUUCUCUCAACAAUAAUAACAUAAUCGGAUCAUAUAACUAUCCCUCAACAUGCAACAAAGAGUCACUCCAAAGUCACUAAUAGCGGAGAACAAACGAAGAGAUUAUUGUAGGGUACAAAACCACCUCAAAGUUAUUCUUUUGGAUCGAUCUAUCAUAUAGUUCGUACUAGAAUAACACCUUAAGACACAAAUUAACCAAAACCCUAAUGUCACCUAGAUACUCCAAUGUCACCUCAAGUAUCCGUGGGUAUGAUUAUAUGAUAUGCAUCAAACAAUCUCAGAUUCAUCUAUUCAACCAACACAUAGAACUUCAAAGAGUGCCCCAAAGUUUCUACCGGAGAGUCAAGACGAAAACGUGUGCCAACCCCUAUGCAUAAGUUCACGAGCAGAACCCGCAAGUUGAUCACCAAAACAUACAUCAAGUGGAUCACGUGAUAUCCCAUUGUCACCACAGAUAAGCACAUGCAAGACAUACAUCAAGUGUUCUCAAAUCCUUAAAGACUCAAUCCGAUAAGAUAACUUCAAAGGGAAAACUCAAUCCAUUACAAGAGAGUAGAGGGGGAGAAACAUCAUAAGAUCCAACUAUAAUAGCAAAGCUCGCGAUACAUCAAGAUCGUACCACCUCAAGAACACGAGAGAGAGAGAGAGAUCAAACACAUAGCUACUGGUACAUACCCUCAGCCCCGAGGGUGAACUACUCCCUCCUCAUCAUGGAGAGCGCCGGGAUGAUGAAGAUGGCCACCGGUGAUGGAUCCCCCCCGGCAGGGUGCCGGAACAGGGUCCCGAUUGGUUUUUGGUGGCUACAGAGGCUUGCGGCGGCGGAACUCCUGAUCUAUUCUGUUCUCCGAUGUUUUUAGGGUAUAUGGAUAUAUAUAGGCGAAAGAAGUCGGUCAGGGGAGCCACGAGGGUGGGGGCGCGCCCAGGGGGGUAGGGCGCGCCUCCCUGCCUCGUGGUUUCCUCGAAGCUUCCCUGACAUCUACUCCAAGUCUCCUGGAUUGCUUUCGUUCCAAAAAUAACUCUCCCGAAGGUUUCAUUCUGUUUGGACUCUGUUUGAUAUUCCUUUUCUUCGAAACACUGAAAUAGGCAAGAAAACAACAAUUUGGGCUGGGCCUCCGGUUAAUAGGUUAGUCCCAAAAAAUAAUAUAAAAGUGUUUAGUAAAGCCCAUAAACAUCCAAAACAGAUAAUAUAAUAGCAUGAAUACUUCAUAAAUUAAAGAUACGUUGGAGACGUAUCAAGCCCAUCGUUGGAAUAUACAAGCCAAGUUCUAUAAUGAAAAUUCCCACUAGUAUAUGAAAGUGAUAACGCAAGAGACUCUCUAUAUGAAGAACACGGUGCCACUCUAAAGCACAAGUGUGGUAAAAGGAUAGUAACAUUGUCCCUUCUCUCUUUUCUCUCAUUUUUUUCUCUUUUUUUGUAGGCUUCCUUGGCCUCUCUCUCUCUUUUUUUUGGCUUCUUUGGCCACUUUUAUUUUGAUAACCUCACAUGGGACAAUGUUCUAAUAAUGAUCAUCACACUUUUUAUUUACUUACAACUCAAUAUUACAACUCGGUACUAGAACAAAGAUAUGACUCUAUAUGAAUGCCUCCGGCGGUGUACCGGGAUGUGCAAUGAUCUAGCGUAGCAAUGAAAUAAAAAAAUGGACAAGCCAUGAAAACAUCAUGCUAGCUAUCUUACGAUCAUGCAAAGCAAUAUGACAAUAAAUGCUCAAGUCAUGUAGAUGAUGGAAGUUUGCAUGGCAAUAUAUCUCGGAAUGGCUAUGGAAAUGCCAUAAUAGGUAGGUAUGGUGGCUGUUUUGAGGAAGAUAUAAGGAGGCUUAUGUGUGAUAGAGCGUAUCGUAUCACGGGGUUUGGAACCGGCGAAGUUUGCACCAACUCUCGAGGUGAGAAAGGGCAAUGCACGGUACCGAAGAGGCUAGCAAUGAUGGAAGGGUGAGAGUGCGUAUAAUCCAUGGACUCAACAUUAGUCAUAAAGAACUCACAUACUUAUUGCAAAAAUCUAUUAGUCAUCGAAACAAAGUACUAUGCGCAUGCUCCUAGGGGGAUAGAUUGGUAGGAAAAGACCAUUGCUCGUCCCCAACCGCCACUCAUAAGGAAGACAAUCAAUAAAUACCUCAUGCUCCAACUUCGUUACAUAAUGGUUCACCAUUCGUGCAUGCUAUACAAUCCACAACUACCCACUAGUAUGACUCUAAUAUCAACCAUCUUUAUAUUGCAAAACUAUUGCAAGGAAUCAAACAUAUCAUAUUCAGUGAUCUACAAGUUUUAUGUAGGAUUUUAUGACUAACCAUGUGAAUGACCAGUUCCUGUCAACUCUCUAAAUAGAUAUAAGUCAAGCAAGAGAGUUUAAUUCUUUCUACAAAAGAUAUGCCCACGCUCUAACAAAUAUAAGUGAAGCAAAAGAGCAUUCUACAAAUGGCAGUUUUCUAUGUGUAGGGAAACAGGCAAUCCAAACUUCAAAUGAUAUAAGUGAAGCACAUGAAGCAUUCUAUAAAGCCAUACUCAAAAGAUAUAAGUGAAGUACAAUGAGCAUUAUAUAAAUCAACCAUGUACUAUCUCAUACCAGCAUGAUGCAUCAAAGAAAAGUGAAAACUAAAUGCAAAAGACGCUCCAAGAUUUGCACAUAUCACAUGAACGAAACAAAACCGAAAACAUACCGAUACUUGUUGAAGAAAGAUGGGGUGCCUUCCGGGGCAUCCCCAAGCUUAGACGCUUGAGUCUCCUUGAAUAUUUACUUUGGGUGCCUUGGGCAUCCCCAAUCUUGAGCUCUUGCCUCUCCUCCUUCUCCUCAUAUCGAGACCUCCUCGAUCUUUGAUCACUUCAUCCACACAAAACUCAACAGAAAGCUCGGUAAUAUCCGUUAGUAUAAUAAAGCAAAUCACUACUCUAAGUACCGUUGCAAGCCAAUUCAUAUUUUGUUUUUGCAUUGUAGCUACUGUAAUAUAACUUUUACAUGGCUUAAUCCACUGAUAGAAAUCGAUAGUUUCAUCAAAACAAGCAAACAAUGCAUCAAUCACAAAAUCUGUCUUAAACAGGACAGUCUGUAGUAAUCUGAACAUUCACCAUACUUCUGGUACUCCAAAUUUUUGAAAAAAUUAGGAAAAAUAAAAAAUUUGUAUAGAAAGACAGUGCAAAAAGUUUCAGAACCGUUUGACGUUCCAGUAAAAAAUGUAAAAUCGUGCACUACAGCCAAAGUUUCUGUUUUGCACCGCAUAAACCAAUAAGCAAUGUAAACGUCCUAAAGGCAAAUCUUGGCACAUUAUUUUUAUGACACAAUGGAUUUGUACAAGGGGAUAAUUAUUUUUGUUGAAAAUUUUCUGUAAUCAAGGGUCACAAAGUUUCCAUGGGCAUGAACAAAGUUCAAGGCUAGCUCCCACUUUAACAAUGCUCGUCUUUCUUACUUUCGCUUUUCUUUUUGAAAACAUUCUAGGUUCCCCUCUUUAUUUUUUUGUUUUUAAACUUUAUAAAAUCACACAACAGAAAUAAAUGACUCUCUAAAACUUCCGGGUUGUCUCCCUGGCAUCGCUUUCUUUAAAGCCAUUAAGCUAGGCAUAUAGUGCUCAAGUAAUGGAUCCACCCGGAUCCCAAGGUAUAUCAAAGCCAAUUUUAAUUAACAAUGAUUUGUGAUUUAGUAGUGAUCACAAAGUAACAUAUAUCAUGCAACAACGAAGUCUAACUCUCUUCUUAUGCAUCGGCAUGUCAUGAAAGAACAAUUCAUGCACACAUAGUAAAUGCCAAUGCAUAGUAUAAACAGUUUCUUGCAAUUUUAUCGUAUUGGAAACAUGGAGAGGCGGAGAUGUAGUUCCUCUCUUAUAAUAAUUGCAAGUAGGAGCAGCAAGCACAUGCAUAUUAUAUCUAUCAAAAUCAUCAUGUGUAGUAGUGAAACGCAACCGAUCAAUAUAAUCCUUAAUAAGGUCAAACUUCUCCGAUAUAGUGUAGUCGGGAGAAUUCAAAAAGAUAAUAGGACUAUCAUGCGUGGGUGCAAUAGCAACAAUUUCAUGUUUAACAUAAGGAACUAUAGCGAGUUCAUCUCCAUAAGCAUAAUUCAUAUUGGCAUCUUGGCCACAAGCAUAGCAAGCAUCAUCAAAAAGGGAUAUUCCAAAAGAAUCAACGGGAUCAUAACAAUCAUCAUAGCAUUCAUCCUUCGGUAAAUUCGAAGGGAAAUUAAAUAAUGUAUGGGUUAAAGAGUUACUCUCAUUAGAUGGUGGGAACGGGUGAUCAAUCCGCUCUUCCUCCUUUUGUUCUUUGCUCUCCUCCUCUUUUUUCAUCCAAUGAGCUCACAAUGUCAUUAAUUUCUUCUUCCAUAGACUCCUGCAAAAUAUUAGUCUCUUCUUGGACAGCGGGGGAGUCCUCAAUAUAUGGUUUAAUAUAAGGAUUAGAAGCAUAAUUAUCAUAGCAAUAUUUAAGUAUGGCCAAAUUUUCAGAUUUGUAGAGAGUAGUAUCACACUCUUCAAUAAAAGAAGCAAUUUCACAAGUACCCCCAAAAGCAACAAAUUCUUCAAUUUGUUGAACAUCAUAGUAAUUAUAAACACCCUUAGUAUACGAAGAUACGAUUCCAUAGCACUAAAAUCACAUUGGUAAGGAAGGUGUUUCUUAGGGUCUUUAGAACAGCAAGUACAAUCAUAUAUUUCACAUAAAUUCCAAGCAUAGCACUGCAAACGAUAAUUUGAUCCAGUAAAAGUUUCCCUUUUUCAGAUAUGCGGUGUCGCACAUAACAAGCAUGCUCAUCUAAAGAUUUGCCCUCAACUAAGCUAGUUGGGGUUUCAGCCCGAGCACAUAGGGAUCAAAGAUGAUCCAAGUAAAAAGCUUCAGUAGUAUGAUAGAUUUUGAGUGGUUCUUCAACCAUUGGUUCAGUAGGUACCACUAAUUUUUUUGGUAUUUUGCGUUUCCUACCCAUAAAUAAAGAUAGAAAACAAGAGCACAAAAUAGAAACUACUUAGUGAUAAAGCAAACAAGCACACACGAGAAUAUUCACCCCACGCUAUAACUCCCCGGCAACGGCGCCAGAAAAAGGUCUUGAUAACCCACAAGUAUAGGGGAUCAAUUGUAGCCUCUUUCGAUAAGUAAGAGUGUCAAACCCAACGAGGAGCUAAAGGUAGAACAAAUAUUCCCUCAAGUUCUAUCGACCACCGAUACAACUCUACACACGCUUAAUGUUCGCUUUACCUAGAACAAGUAUGAAACUAGAAGUACUUUGUAGGUGUUGGAUAGGUUUGCAAGAUAAUAAAGAGCACGUAAAUAAAAACUAGGGGCUGUUUUAGGUAAAGAAGCAAUAAAGUUAGUAUAGCAAGUGUGGAAAAGUGGUGGUAGGAGUUGCGAAAUUGUCCCUAAGCAAUUGACUACUUUACUAGACCGAUAGCAGGUUUUAUGUGGGAGAGGCCACUGCUAGCAUGUCAUCCCUGACUUGGAAUUCUAUGCACUUAUGAUUGGAACUAUUAGAAAGCAUCCGCAACUACUAACGUUCAUUAAGGUAAAACCCAACCAUAGCAUUAAGAUAUAUUGGUCCCCCUUCAAUCCCGUAUGCAUCAAUUUCUAUGCUACGUUGAAGCUUCUGUCAUUCUUGCCCUCCAAUACAUAGUCCUAUCAACAUACAACUAACCCUAUGGUGUGAUCCAUGCGCGCGCUCAUAUGAUGGGCACCAAAGGACAGCAACAUAACCAGAAGCAAAUUAAACCAAUCAUAGUAAUUCACCAAUUACCGAUAGGACAACGAAAAUCUACUCAGACAUCAUAGGAUGGCAACACAUCAUUGGGUAAUAAUAUGAAGCAUAAAGCACCAUGUUCAAGUAGAGGGUACAGCGGGUUGCGGGAGAGUGGACCGCUAUAGAUAGAUGGGGGAAGGUGAUGAAGAUGUUGGUGAAGAUGACGGAGGUGUUGGUGUAGAUUGCGAUGACGAUGAUGGCCCCCAGCGGUGUUCCGGAGCCACCGGAAGAGAGGGGGAGAGAGCCCCCCUUCUUCUUCUUCUUCCUUGACCUUCUCCCUAGAUGGGAGAAGGGUUUCCCCUCUGGUCCUUGGCUUCCAUGGCAUGGGAGGGGUGAGAGCCCCUCCGAGAUUGGAUCUGUCUCUCUAUCUCUCUCUGUUUCUGCGUUCCCUGAUUCUGCCCUUUCGCCGUUUCUUAAAUUCCUGGAGAUCCGUAGCUCCGAUUGGACUGAAAUUUGGACAUGAUUUUUAUCCGGAUAUUGGCUUUCUUGCGGCGAAAGAAGGGCACCAACCACCUUACGGAGUGGCCACGAGGGCCCAGGGCGCGCCCUACCCCCUGUGGCGCGCCCCUCACCCUCGUGGGCCCCUUGGGCAUCGUCUCGCGUUGAUUCCACUUCCUAAAAUUCACAUAUAUUCCAAAAAAAUCUCCGUAAGUUUUUAUCCCGUUUGGACUCCGUUUGAUAUGGAUUUUCUGCGAAACAAAAAACAUGCAACGAACAGGAACUGACACUGGGCACUGGAUCAAUAUGUUAGUCCCAAAAAUAGUAUAAAAAGUUGCCAAAAGUAUGUAAAAGUUGUAGAAUAUUGGCAUGGAACAAUAAAAAAUUAUAGAUAUGACGGAUACGUAUCAACAUUGCAUACUAAAUGCCUGUGCAUAUUUAAUACUCCUAUCCUCAAAUAGAAUCAUUAAACAAGCAAGCAUAUGCAAACAAUACAAAAAUCUGUCAAAACAGGACAGUUUUUAAAGGAUGCAAAAGGUUCAUUCUUCUUUAACUCCAAAAAAUCUGAAUUUUUCCCACAUUGUAGAAAAUUUAUCAUAGCUUACCGUGUAAAAUUUUCAAGAUUUUAUCACGUUCCGACUUUUCUGAAGAAUUCAUACAAUGAUAGAAAACUUUCUAUCAAACAACAACAUAUAAGCUUGCAAAAUAAGCAUGGUAAAGGCUAUACUUGACACUUUUAUUGAAAUAAAAGAUUCAAAACAUUAUUCUAAAUAACAAUAAGCAAAUCUUAACAAAAUAAAGUAACGCUCCAAGCAAAACUCAUAUCAUGUGACAAAUAAAAAUAUAGCUCCAGGUGAGGUUACCGAUAAUGUUGAAGACGAAAGAGGGGAUACCUUCUGGGGCAUCCCCAAGCUUGGAUGCUUGGGUCUUCCUUGAAUAUUACCUUGGGGUGCCUUGGGCAUCCCCAUGCUAGGGUCUUGCCACUCCUUAUUCUCCUCAUAUCGAUAUCUUACCCAAAAGUUGAAAAUGUCAAUCACACAAAACUUAACGGAACAUCGUGAGAUAGGUUAGUAUGAUAAAGAGAAAAUCUUUCACUUUGGUACUAUAAAACAAGACUGAAAGUUUUUCUCAAACAAAUGCCUAUUGUACCCUAAAAUUUCUACAAUUUAUAUUGACCAAUAUAAGCCAUAGAACUAUAAAACAAGCAAACUAUGCAUUGAAAACAGAAUCUGUCAAAAACAGAACAGUCUGUAAUGAUUUGAACAACAACCAUACUUAUGUAAAUUCUAAAAUUCUGAAAAAUUAGGAAAACUUAGAAAUUUGUAUGAAUCAUUUUUUAAAAAUUCAGAAUUUUAUCACACUCCAGAAAAUCUCAACAAUUCUGCUAGUGGACAUAAAAGUUUCUGUUUUUGCACAUAAUCAAGUCAACUAUCAUCCACACUAUCCCAAAGGUUUUACUUGGUACUUUAUUGAAAUAAAAGCUAUAAAAUAUGAUUACUGCAAUAGCUUAAUCAUGUGAACACACAAAAAUAGUAGGGGUAAAUGUUGGGUUGUCUCCCAACAAGCACUUUUCUGUAAUGCGUUUUUAGCUAGGCAUGAUGAUUUCAAUGAUGCUCACAUAAAAGAUAAGAAACAUAAAUAGAACAUCAUGAAUCACAUGGAAAGCACACUUAAGCCUAACCCACUUCCUAUGCGUAGGGAUUUUGUGAUCAAACAAUUUAUGGGAGCAAGAAUCAACUAGCAUAGGAAAGCAAAACAAUCAAUACUUCAAAAUUUUCAACACAAAGAGAAGAAACUUGAUAUUAUUGCAAUACCUACAAGCAUAUGUUCCUCUCUCAUAAUAAUUUUAAGUAGCAUCAUGAAUGAAUUCAACAAUAUAAAUAUCACAUAAAGCAUUCUUUUCAUAAUUCACAUGCAUAAAAUUUUUAUUACUCUCCACAUAAGCAAAUUUCUUCUCCUCAAUAGUAGUGGGAGCAAAUUAAAUGAAAUAACUAUCAUAUGAUACUUGAUUUACAUUAUCAAAUUGAGCAUUAAAAUCAUGAUGAAAAGUUUCAUGGUUAUAAUUAUUCUUUAUAGCAUACAUGUCAUCACAAUAAUCAUCAUAGAUAGCAACUUUGUUGUCAUAAUCAAUUGAAACCUCUUCCGAAGUAGUGGAUUCAUCACUAAAUAAAGUCAUGACUUCGCCAAAUCCACUUUCAUAAUUAUUGCAAUAAGAUUCAACACCCUCCAAAAUAGUGGGAUCGUUACUACCUAGAGUUGACACUCUUCCAAACCCACUUUCAUCAUUGUAAUCAUCAUAAAAUAGAAGGCAUGCUACCAUCAUAAUGAAUUUGCUCAUCAAAACUUGGGGGACUAAAAAUAUCAUCUUCAUCAAACAUACCACCCCCAAGCUUAUGGCUUUGCAUAUCAUUAGCAUCAUGGGUAUUCAAAGGAUUCAUACUAACAACAUUGCAAUCAUGCUCAUCAUUCAAAGAUUUUAUGCCAAACAUUUUAUUGAAUUCUUCUUCUAACACUUUGGCACAAUUUUCCUUUCCAUCAUUUUCAUGAAGACAUUAUAAAGAUGAAGCAAAUGAGGAAACCUAAAUUCCAUAUUUUUUUGUAGUUUUCUUUUAUAAACCAAACUAGUGAUAAGUCAAGAAACUAAAAGAUUCAAUUGCAAAAUCUAAAGAUAUACCUUCAAGCACUCACCUCCCCGACAACGGCGCCAGAAAAGAGCUUCAUGUCUACUACACAACUUAUUCUUGUAGACUCGUGUUGGGCCUCCAAGCGCAGAGUUUUGUAGGACAGUAGCAAUUUUCCCUCAAGUGGUUGACCUAAGGUUUAUCAAUCUGUGGGAGGCGUAGGAUAAAGAAGGUCUCUCUCAAACAACGCUGUAGUUAAAUACAAGAAAUCUCUUGUGUCGCCAACACACCCAAUACAAUGGAAAAUUAUAUGGGUGCACUAGUUCGGCGAAGAGAUGGUGAUACAAGUGUAGGAUGGAUAGUAGAUAUAUGUUUUUGUAAUCUGAAAAUAUAAAAACAGCAAGGUAGCAAGUGAUAAAACGAAGCACAAAUUGUAUGGCAAUGCUUAGAAACAAGGCCUAGGGUUCCUACUUUCACUAGUGCAAUCUCUCAACAGUGCUAACAUAAUUGAAUCAUAUAACAAUCCAUCAACGUGCGACAAAGAGUCACUCCAAAGUUCUUAUCAAGCGGAGAACAUAAGAUGAAAUUAUUGUAGGGUACGUAACCACCUCAAAGUUAUACUUUCCGAUCAAUCUAUUGAGCUAUUCUUAUAAGUGUCAAAAACAACCCUAGAGUUCGUACUAAAAUAACACCAUAUGAUACGCAUCAACCAACUCUAAUGUCACCUAGAUACUCCAGUGUCACCACAAUAUCCAUAAGUUGAUUAUACGAUGUGCAUCAAAUAACUUCAGAUUCAUAAUAUUCAAUCCAACACCAAGAACUUCAAAGAGUGCCCCAAGAUUUCUACCGGAGAAAGUAGGAUGAAAGUGUGCAUCAACCCCUAUGCAUAGAUUAGCCCAAUGUCACCUCCGGAAUCCGCGAGUUGAGUGCCAUAACAUACAUCAAGUGAAUCAAUAUAAUACCUCAUUGUCACCACGGGUAUUCAUAUGCAAGAGAUGCAUCAAGUGUUCUCGGAUCCAUAAAAGUAUUCAAUCCGAUAAUAGUGAAACCUCAAAGGUAAAACUCAAUUCAUCACAACAAGAUAGAGAGGGAGAAACACCAUAUGAUCAAACUAUAUUAACAAAGCUCGUGGUACAUCAAGAUCGUGCCAAAUCAAGAACACGAGAGAGAGAGAGAGAGGGAGAGAGAGAUCAAACACAUGGCUACUGGUACAUACCCUCAGCCCCGAGGGUGAGCUACUCCCUCCUCGUCAUGGUGGCGGCCGAGAUGAUGAAGAUGGGCUUCGGUGAUGAUUUCCCCCUCCGGCAGGGUGCCGAUUGAGUUUUCGUGGGUACAGAGGGUUGCGGCAGCGGAACUUCUCAUCUAGGGUUCUUUCCGAGUGUUUGGGUAUUUAUAGCAAUUUUUGGCGUCGGUUUCAUGUCAAGGGGGCCUGCGAGGGAGCGACAAGCUCGGGGGGCGCACCCCCAGGCUUGUCGUGCCGUUAUGGAUCUUCUGGCCUAGCUCCGAUGCUCUGUGGGUCUCUUCUAGUCCAUAAAAUAUCACCGUAAAUUUUCAGCCAAUUUCGAGAACUUUUAUUUCUGCACAAAAAACAACACCACGGUAGUUCUGCUGAAAACAGCAUCAGUCCGGGUUAGUUCCAUUAAAAUCAUACCAAAACCAUAUAAAAUUGUUGUAAACAUGGCAUGAAUACUCCAUAAAAUUAUAGAUACGUUGGAGACAUAUAUUGGACACUGAAACCGAGGCCAAAACCUGUAAAGGAUACGGUUAGCUUCCUCGGAUGACAUUGAUCCGCUGGUCGGCUUCUUCUAUCCGACCAGGGUCUCAGGGACUACCGUAUAUUCAUUUCCAUACAGGUUCAGUUUCUUUAAGACCCCAAGUAAGAUCUUGUUAUCUAACUCAGGGCUCGGGGCUACUAUGGUUACACGCCCAUGGUGCACGUCCGCAGUGACAUAAGUCCUCGGACAAUUUCAUCCGCUAAAGGUCUACUAGAUAUAUCUAGUGGUAAUAGCUUUUUGCGUUGAUGUAAAUUUUGAAAAAUAAUCGAAGGUUACCUCAAAGCCUUGAUAGAGGCCCUUGAAGGCCUCCCUUAUACCGGCCUCUGUGGACCGGUAACUUUGCAGCGUCGUGCCUAGAAGGACGCGGUGCUCGACAACGAUGGAGGAUCCUGUCAUGGAUGCCUCCAUCUCUUCCGUCCACCCUGCAGACGUCUGCUCUUCCGUAGGCCGGGAUGGAUGGGCCACCUCGGUUCUCCCCAUCAUAGGAGGAGCGGCCGCCGUGGUAGGCCGUCGGGGUGGCUUCGGGUCGAUGGGGGCCGAAGUUGUCGUCUGCCCCAGUGUCCUACUCCGUAGAGAUGGGGUUCUUCCCCAGCGGGGUCCUCGGAGGCCUCCGCCUCGGCCAUGGAGACAUCGGCGCUGCCCCCCCAUGGUAGGCAAUGGCGGGGCUUGCUAAGAGGUCGCCUUCCCUAGCCCAUCAUGGGAAAGAGGGGAGGGGUGAUGCUCCUCCGAUGCGCUGGGUGGAGGGAGCCCACUCGACGACGAUUUGGCGCUGAUGUGGGAGCGUUGUGGGCUGCGAAAAGACGAAUAAUCAAAUAAAUUUAGAGAAAUAAGGAACCAGCGUGCAUACGACACAUACAAGAUUAAGGUGUACCUCCUUGGCAGCGUCCUCAGCCGGCGUGGCUCGAUGAGGUCGUCCUCCGUUUUGAAGGAGAUGAUCUCGGCCACAGCAGGGUCCUUGCGGGGUGCGGCGUCGACGGACUUCACAAGGCGACGAUGGUUCGGGCGGUGUUGGCCUCCGCGGCGUCUUUAGACGCCACCCUCUUUCUCUGCAGGGAAGAAGAGCCCUCCUCCCCUUCUUCUUUCUCUCUCUCUUUCCUCCUCGUCGGAUGUUCUCGGACUUAGCGUCUAAGGGGUCUCGGAUCCGAAGACCCUCCGUUUUCUUCUCCGGCUCCAUAGCCUUGGCCGAAGCCUUUGGGGCGCCACAGCCAAAAGGGCAUGUAGCUCGGGGGUCUUGUUGUCUUUGGGUAGCGACACAACGCAUUUGAUGAGUGCCGCCCUGGACGCCCACUUUUGAAAAUGGAGGGGGAAGACUUAGAAAAAUGCGGAAUAUGGAGUUAUUAUUUAACAUACGAAAUGAUGGUUACCUCAGAGGGGCCACAUGUGGCGCUAUAGCCGCUGUCUGUCCCAUCUUCAGGGAAUUUGUUUUGGGACGGCUUGAAGAGAGCUGUCCCACAUCCCAUCUAUGUUGGUGUGGAAGAAGUUCCGCAGUGUUGCUAGGUCCUUGGGCUUGUAGAGCCACAUAGGGCUAGCCCGGAGCUGGAGUGAGAGGAUGUAUCGCCGCAGCAUCACAUCCACCACGUCUACUAGCUUGAAUCUCUUCUUGAGGCCUCUGAUCCUCUCUUGAAGAGCAGUGACCUCGUCUGGGUUGCCCCAUUCUAGGCCCUGCUUCUGCCAGGACAUCAACUUCCUCGGCGGUGUACCCUUGAAGGCAGGGACCAUGGCCUGGCCUGGGAUGAGCGGUUCAGUGAUGUAGAACCACUUGCGCUGCCAGAUCUCCGCGGUCUCGAUGAACAUGCCCUCCAGCCAGUCUGGCUUUUGGAGCUUGUUGAUCAUGGCACCGCUACAUUCGGCGAACUCCGCGCCGCUGCUCUUCGGCUUAACGCAAAAGGUCUUCAGCCAUAGGCCGAAGUGUGGCUCUACGCGUAGGAAUGCCUCACACACUAUGAUAAAAGUGGUGAGGUGCAUGAUGGAAUUUGGGGCUAGAUUGUGGAAAUCUAGCCUGUAGAAGAACAAGACCCCCCCCCCCCGCAUAAAGGGGUGUAGGGGGAAUCCCAGACCUGGAUGAGGGUGGGAUGAAGAUGACCUGCUCCCCAGGGCUGGGAGUGGGGACACGUUUGCCGGGCUCUGGGCCCUACGGCAGGAGUCGGCAGGGAUGUAUCCCGCCACGUGGAGCCCGACGAUGGUGGCGUCAGUAACCUUGGAGGCCACCCACCUUCCCUUCAGAUCUACAUCGGCCAUUGGCGCGGGAAGCGGAGAACUGGGGAAAGUGUUAAGCUUGGAAAGGGGAUUGGGGGUGUGGAAACUUGGAGAAUUUGAGUGCCGGAGUAGAAGGAGAGUGUGGGAGUAUGGAUUUGCCCCUCCUGCUCUUUAUAAGUCAGUAAAAGGCGAAGCGUCCCCUCCGUUGCGCCGCAAAAAUUGCCAUGUUUCGGAUGUCCAUGCCAUUAUGGCCACUUUGGGUGAAAUAAUUGAUUGAUGAUAUCCCCUAAAACGCGGGGCACAUCUGUGUUUGGGCGCGACAUGCCAAUGAGAGGGUUGCCUCGAAUCGUGAUUCAAAUAAGUAAUAACUGAUGCAUAUUGUGUCACGGGUGGUGACGCUUUGCAAAAAUUUGUCAGUAAUUGACUGCUGAACACACCUAUGCUUCCAGUCUUCAAGACUACGCAUGCCACACACUUUAAAUAAGUGAAGAUGCGUUUUGGGUAGUGCGUGGUCGGUUGAUCUUAUCCCUUGUCAGAAGGGCGGUAUGAUACGAUUGGGGAUCUACAAGCUUUGUGCAGAUGCUUGGCCUGGGGCAGGACCUUCCUACUAAGCCGUAGAUCAUCCAGCCAAAGACAUUAUCCAAAAAAGAUUAUCAUCCUCGGCUUCGAAGACAAGUUCGGGGGCUACUGACAGUCCUGGACUAGGGGGACCUAGCCUAGCUGGCCUAGUCCAUGGGCCGAGCUGACAACUCGUUAAUGAGGAAGGACUCCGGAGGCCUCUAACCAGUGCAUAUCGAGCUUUACCGAGGACUUGGCGUGUACUCCAAGAAGAUCUAGUAGAUUUGGCAUGUAAUCCUUAGAUGGCAACCGACCAUGCAUAACCCUAGAUACCCCUGGUGCCUAUAUAAACCAAAGGGUUUAGUCCGUAGAGGAUACUUGAUUCAUUCAUCAUCAUACCCCUAGGGUUUACACCACAACUCACGAUCUCGAGGUAGAUCAACUCUGUACUUUUAUGCACUCAUAAUAUAAGCAAGAGCAGGACGUAGAGUUUUACCUCCUUAAAGAGGGCCCGAACCUGGGUAAAAACACCGUGUCCUCUAUCUCUUGUUACCCAUCAAUCCGAUCUCACAGCUCAGGCCCCCCUACCCGAGGUCUGCCGGUUUUGACAUCGACACAUACCUUGGCCUUGCCGGCGUACCCAACAGUUCCCAUAUGAUGUGGGUACUUGUUCAAUUUGGCAAUUUCGCUGUGUUUCUGACUUUUUCUUUAAAUUUCGGCGUGGUCUUUGCCACACAAACUCAUCCCACACACAUGGCUGAAUUUGAAAAUAACAUUGUAAGGGAGCUGCAUUCUGGCAAACGAACUUCGUCGUCAAGGUGGACUUCCAUCCAGGGAAAUAUUCCUAGUGGUAAGAAGAGUUGCUCACCUAACAUCCUUCACGUGUUCCAUAUCUACAAGGAGGUACAUCAUGAUCUCGUUGACGAUCGGUUGCCAAUGAUUAUCCGAUACUAAUUUCCAUUUCUCAACGUGCAUUGUACUCGAUCACGAACCAUAAUCCCAACAACCUUUUGAACUUAUUUAUAGCAAUAUCCGAUGACAGUGGAGUGCCCAUUGUUGAAUUGACAUCGGUAAUCCUAAAUAUGGAUUCCGGCCUUUGGGCAACUCCUCUACACCCGAUCACCGUUUUUUCUCGCAUUUGUCUGCAUGAAAUUGGAUAUGGGAAAGCAGAAAAGGAAAAAAUACAAACCCCUCACUGUCUGAACUUGCUGGGGUGGAGAGUCAUGGUGGUGACAGUGGAUAUGGUAGCGUAGAUGCUGUUGGCAUUGACUGUGGCGGUGGAUGAGGGCAGAAGGAGUCAGCAGCGAUGGAGUUGACAGAGAUGCAGAAGGAGCCAACAUCUUUCUUUUCCUUUUUAGUUUUUCUUCAGCAAAUUUUUAAUUUUCUUUUGGAUUUUUUCACCUUCUGUUUUUUCUUUUAUUGUUUUACUUUUUUUAAAUUUAGAAACAAUUUUUGAAUGCAUUUUUUUAGUUCAUAAUUUUUUUGAAUUCAUGAUUUUUUUAAUUUAUGAAUAUUUUCAAAUUAAUUAACAUGUUUAAAUUCACAAAUAUUUGGCUUGUUCGCAAAUGCACCACACGGGGCGGGCCAUAAAAAAGAAACAUCAGAUUUGUUUUUAGGCAAAAAAGAAACAUCAGAUGCAAUAGCACCAUCUAUCAAUGUGGGUUGCUAAAAAAAAUCUAAUCAAUGUGGGUGGGCCGCAACAAUUGGCCCGUUUCGCAACGAGGCCGCGCGUUGUCGGUCCGGUCCGGGUCCGGUCCAGACAAGAACCAGGUGUCCACCCUUCCCGGCGACAACAACGCGCCGCACACCGCACUCCCUGUUCCGCGCCACCGCCGUCCAUCCCCCGCCGCCUCUCAAGCUGACUCCAAACACCACGCCAGCGACAUGCCGCCCAAAGGUUGGUACUUUUCCUCUUCUCCACUAGGCACUCCUCCCCCCCACUUCCGCACGAACGACCAACUUGUCGCGCUACGGCUGACCUCGACGCGAUUGAUUGGCUGCAGAGCUGCCCGGGUUCUACUACGACCCGGACAAGAACCGCUACUUCCCCACCAAGGGCCGCAUCCCCGGCGCCGCCACCCGCCCUCCUCGCCCUCCGCCGCCGCCGGCCGAGCCCUCGCCUCCUCCCACAGCACGCAGGAAAAGGGCGAGGCAGUCCGAGCUGCUGCAUGCCAGGGAGAUGUACGGCGGUGGUGUGAUAUUCUCCAAGAACAACAAGUCCACCUUCAAGCAGCAGUGCCAGUACACACAGGCGUCGCAGCCGAUGGUGCUGAUCCGAGCUUCUCUUUUGCUGCAGCUUUCCCUUUCGUUUCUAGCAAUAUAUGCUGAUACCAUAGCGCUGCUUGGUAGGUUUGGAAGUACCAAGGCACAACCUUAGUGGCUGAUAAGGCACUGGAGGAACUGCACGCCAUGGUUCAGACACCGAGUGGACUGCGUGAGUCCAAGCUAUUAGCGACCGGCAGCACGAAUGGUUCAAUCAGGUGAGGUUUGCUACAGUACUCAGUUUCUGUCCGUGUAGUGAAAGGCUUUAGAACUUGACAAUUGAUUGUCGGGAGUAUAGAUGUACCAUCAGCUGAGGUUAUCCUGAAUUCUUGAUACCAUACCGCCAGUGUGCUCACUGCUCAAACAUACUCCAACGGCUAACAAGCUAUGCAAUAAUGGAUUUUGAAAACGAAAUUACUAAAACACAAAUACAACAAUUUCUCUUUUCUUGAAGACAGAACGUGCAUGGCUUUAUAUAAGUUUAAAAAAUUGUUGGAUUCUUUGAUAUUCAGUUGUUCUCUUUGAGUAUAAGCAUGACCAUACUGGUGUUUCAUGUCGCAUGACAUAUUUUUAUCUGGCAGAUUAUUUGGGUUAGGAACUGCUCUAGAGAAUUUUGAGGAUGGGAUGGAGUUUUUACCUCAGCCUGUUUGGACUCCCUUGGGAAAGCAGAUAGCAGCAGUGAAUUCUCCACUUGCAAAUAUCUGGUCAUCUGAAACAGCGUUCUCAAACUUCUCAUCCAGUAUAUUUUGCAUAAAAAAGUUCGGGCGCAACUUCCAUGAUGCAGCCAGCACCAACUCAUCAGUUCAGCAAGCAUUGUAUCCUCAAAAUGGUUGCUUCUAUUAUGCAUAUUACUGUUGUCAUAAUUACAUGUGUUUCGACUUGUGCAUUUUAUGUUCUGUACUAUUGCCUGGUAAUUGAACAUGAGCUUGGGUUACUUGACAUCAUAAACAUGGUGGCUACUCUUGGAUCUGGAGGAUCUGGUGGUUCUGUUUAUAUUAUGGAUAUGUCAACUAUUGACUCUGCAACGGUUUCACGGAAUGCCCAUGAAAGAAUUGAAAGAGUUGCUUCAUUUGAUCGUACAGUAUGGACUGCUGAUUGUAAUUCUGAUGGCACACAAGUAGUUUUAGGUGAGUUGGCUGGCUGGACUUCAGUUUAGGCCAUGCCCAAAGUUCCCCUGUUACACAGAGUAACGGAUUUGUUUUUUUAAUAAUCCUUUCAGCAGUACUUACUAUGGAUCAGAGGUAGUAGUAAUAACACUAUGAAGUUUGCUGCAUUCAGAAUCUUUGAUAAUCUUUUUAAUGUAUUGAUAUGGCAAGAUCAUUCUAUAAGAAUUUAUACAUAGAAACUGACUACAAUUACACAGAAAGAUUAGCUUGCUAUUAUGAGUAUGUAUAAUUGCUCCCACCAUAACUUUGUUAUACGUGUUCAUUGAAUUUUGAAGUCAUUUGUUCAUUAGGUGGAGGUAUUGUAGUAACUUGUUGUCACAACUUAGCUUUUUUAGAACUGUAGCAGCUUUGCAAGUUGUCUAUUUUAUACAAGGAAAGUGCAAGGUCCUUUUUUCUUGGAAUUAUGGGAGUAGGCAGUGGAGGAACUUCUUCUGUAUCAAUUAAGCUUGUGGAUUAUUAAGCAUUUUUGCUCAUAUUAUUUCUAGGUACAAACACUGGCGCUGGUUUGCUUAAUUUGGAGACAGGGACGUUAUCAUGGCUGUAUCGUUGUAAAAGUGACAUUCUUUCCCAGCAAUUUGUGCACUCGGUAACAAAUUAUUUUAAAUGUGUACAUUUCAACUUAGUAGGUUUCAUAUAUCCAAUGGUCUGUUAGGUGUGUUGUUAGGAGCUAGGGUUCUGCCGGUUCUAGGGCGGAGAUUGUAGGGGAAGGACGGAGGAGGACGAGGACGAGGGCACGGCGGCCGGCGGCUGGGCGCCGUCCUUGCUUGGUGGAGAAGAGGCGGCGGCGGCGCAAGAGGCAGCUAGGGUUAGGUCUCCCGGCUCCCUAAGGGAAGCCGAGCAAAUAAUGAUUGCUUCUUGCUUGAUUAGAUUGAUACAUCUCCUCUCCUUAUAUAGAGAGGUUUACUUGACUCCUAAGCAAACGAUCCUAAUAAUGAUAAGAUAAUUGGGCUAAGCCCCUAAUAACGAUAAGAUAACUUGGGCCACAACCCACUGGGCUAAGCCCCUAAUAUGCCGGUCAUAACACUUCUCCUUGCCUGCACAAACAGCUCGCCCUCGAGCUGUAAGGUGGGGAAAAGCUGGCUGAACUCCUCGAGGUGAUCAACCAGCGUCAAACACCUUCGCGACAGCUGGGGCGGCCAGGUCGGCGGCGACGGCGUCCUCCUCAAUGUAGUCUGCAGCCUCCAGGUAGAAGAGUCGCGGGCAGACGUGGCCGGGCGUGUAGGGCUCGUCGCAGUUGAAGCACAACCCUUGGCGGUGAUGCUCGAGUAGCUCGGCCGAGGUGAGCCGGCGGAAGCCUGAGCAGGCCGACCCUGCGCGGGAACAUCCGGCCAGGGUAGCGGCCCAGCGGCCCAGGACGGUGAUGCCUGCUGGAUGGCCACCGCGCGGCGCUCAAACGCGCGGGCGUAGUACAUGGCCGUCUGGAGAUCCCGGGGUCCCCGAAGCUCCACGUCCACGCGGAUGUGAUCCGGAAGUCCAUCGACGAAGUGGUCGGCCCGCUGCUGCGCCGUUACGCCCGACGCGUGGCAUGCCAGGGCCUGGAAACGGUCGGCGAAGUCCUGAACCGUGGAGGUGAAGGGAAGGCGGCCUAGCUCUGCCAGGCGGCUCCCGCGGAUCGGUGGCCCAAAACGAAGAAGGCAGAGCUCGCGGAAGCGCUCCCAAGGGGGCAUGCUGCCCUCGUCCUGCUCGAGGGCAUAGUACCAGGUCUGUGCCGCGCCGCGGAGGUGGUAAGAGGCGAGCCAGGUACGCUCCGAGGCAAGGGUGCGCUGCCCGUGAAAGAACUGCUCGCACUGGUUGAGCCAGUUGAGAGGGUCCUUCGUGCCGUCAUAAGUGGUGAAGUCCAGUUUGGCAAACCGCGACGGUGUCUGAGUCGGAGCGUCAUGGCCGACUGGCUCAGAGGUGCGAAGUAGCGAGGAUUGGGGCGCCCGGUCAGCAUGGCCGCGGCCCGUGAAGUGCCCCACCGAGCCGGAGGGAUCGCUGAACUACAGAGUGGGUGCCGGCGGGUCUCCAGCCGAUGUGUAGACGGGUGGCGGCGAUGAUCCGGUCAACCAGGCCGGUAUUGGGGACGGCGACGGCAGGAAGCGCACUUGCUGGAUCGGUACGCCUCCCUGUGUGGGUGACCCGGGCCCCGUGCUGGACGGUGGCGGGGCCGGCAGCUGCGGCUGCGGCGGCACGGACCCGGGUGGCGUGGAGGGCGUAGCGAGGGCCGGGGCNNNNNNNNNNNNNNNNNNNNNNNNNNNNNNNNNNNNNNNNNNNNNNNNNNNNNNNNNNNNNNNNNNNNNNNNNNNNNNNNNNNNNNNNNNNNNNNNNNNNNNNNNNNNNNNNNNNNNNNNNNNNNNNNNNNNNNNNNNNNNNNNNNNNNNNNNNNNNNNNNNNNNNNNNNNNNNNNNNNNNNNNNNNNNNNNNNNNNNNNNNNNNNNNNNNNNNNNNNNNNNNNNNNNNNNNNNNNNNNNNNNNNNNNNNNNNNNNNNNNNNNNNNNNNNNNNNNNNNNNNNNNNNNNNNNNNNNNNNNNNNNNNNNNNNNNNNNNNNNNNNNNNNNNNNNNNNNNNNNNNNNNNNNNNNNNNNNNNNNNNNNNNNNNNNNNNNNNNNNNNNNNNNNNNNNNNNNNNNNNNNNNNNNNNNNNNNNNNNNNNNNNNNNNNNNNNNNNNNNNNNNNNNNNNNNNNNNNNNNNNNNNNNNNNNNNNNNNNNNNNNNNNNNNNNNNNGGAGGCGCGACGAUCGCCGGGCCGGCCACUGCGGCCAGUAGGGGGUGAUGGCGGGCGGCGGCUGACCGGGCCAGUGGUGGUGUAGAGGCCCGAUCGGCGCCGUGGUGGCCGCGUACCAGGGCAGGGCGGCUGGCCCGGUCGUGGCGGCCGGCGGCAAGGGCGGGGGCUGCCCGUAAGGCCCGGCCAGGUAGAGGCGGAUGCCCUGGACGGCGGUGACGAGGUCAUUAAGGACCCCAGUGAUCUCUGCUGGGGAGUAGACGGCGGCAGGUGGCGCGGUGACGGGCAGCGACUGGCCGGUGGAGGCCCCCGCAGAGGAGCCGAGCGGCGCGGUGGAGAGGGCGGCGGCGGCGGACAGCGGCAAGGUGGGCAGCGGCGGGGUGGGUGGUGGAGCAGACAUGAUCGGACCCAAGCUACCUGAUACCAAGGUGUUAGGAGCUAGGGUUCUGCCGGUUCUAGGGCGGAGAUUGUAGGGGAAGGACGGAGGAGGACGAGGACGAGGAUGAGGGCGCGGCGGCCGGCGGCUGGGCGCCGUCCUUGCGUGGUGGAGAAGAGGCGGCGGCGGCGCAAGAGGCAGCUAGGGUUAGGUCUCCCGGCUCCCUAAGGGAAGCCGAGCAAAUAAUGAUUGCUUCUUGCUUGAUUAGAUUGAUACAUCCCCUCUCCUUAUAUAGAGAGGUUUACUUGACUCCUAAGCAAACGAUCCUAAUAACGAUAAGAUAAUUGGGCUAAGCCCCUAAUAACGAUAAGAUAACUUGGGCCACAACCCACUGGGCUAAGCCCCUAAUAUGCCGGUCAUAACAUGUGUAUUGUCAGGAGAGUCACCAAAACUUUUUGUCUUCUAUGAAUAGCUGAAUAAAUUCCCCAUGCCUCUGUUUUGCUAUAUAGAGCUCUAGACGUACAUAUAUUUGUAUGAGUUCUCUAGCUGGUUCCUGAACUUAGAGCUUUCAUCUGUGAUUUGAUUAUUAAAUGGUUGCUGUUGCUACCAAAUUGCCACGUUUUUGGCGUAGUUACUACAACAUACCUUGCCUGUCUCCACUAUGCUCAUGUAAUUUUGCUCAUUUUGUUCAGGGAAAUGUGGUGCUAUGUGGCCUACGGAAUGGGAGCAUAGUCCCUGUGGAUGUGCGGGAAAGGCACAGUAAUCACCCUACUGGUCGAUCUUCACCUAGCACUGCUAGGGGGACAGUUCCCAUGCUGUCUGCAAGGCAUAAUGGCAGAGGGAGAAACCAGGUAAAUACCACUAUUAGCACACAGUGUGUUUAAUGUAGCCAUCAAAAGUUACCAUCUCAGCAUUGUUCAAGUUUUUUUUUUUUGUACUUUGACAUAUCACUAGAAUAAAAUGAUAUUUUGAAUGCCUAACUAGGCAAUUCAGCCCUACAAUGAAUGUAUCAUAUGAUUGUGGUUUGGGAAUAAAAAUCCUUGCAGGCUGAUAAGGCAAAAUCAUCUAGGGUUAUCUCUAUGCCUUCAGCAGUUUGCAGGUAACCAUUAUUAUUCUUGGCUUGCUGACACUCUAGUUUGGACAUGGUCAAGUUUCUUGGUGCUAAAAAUUGAUAUUGUUACCCAGCCUGGUUUCUCUGUCGUCGGAUGAACACUACUUCUUAGGGAGCUCCAUGGAUGGAUCGGUAAGCUCGUUCUUAAUCAUUUUUUGUGGUAUCAAUGAAUGAGUAGAUGUGCUCAAAUUUUCACAGGAUUUAUUUGCCACUAACUAUAAUAUUUUCUUAAAACUCAGUGCAAUUUAACAAGAUGAUUUUUUUGCGGGGGUAACAAGAUGUUAACUGCAGUAAUAGAUAAAAUGAGGCUGAGAGUAGCCCCCCGACACAUUAUUUUAAGAUAGUGAGAAUACAAGAUACACUGGUUUAUUUGCCCCGUGAAAUAAAUCAAUGAGAUUUAGUCCUCCCCAAAGGGGUUAUUGCCCAGUUCCCAGAUGUUAACUAAUACUCCCUCCGUCCCAAAAUAACUGUCUCAACUUUAGUACAACUUUGUACUAAAGUUAGUACUCCCUCCCUCCCAUUAUCUAAGGCGUCUUAGUUUUUCUAAAAAAUCCCAAAAUCUAAGGCGCUUUAGCUCUCUUGUACGGUUAGACUGCCACGAUUUUUCCUCACCUACUUUCUCUCGUACGGUUAGCUAUCGAACCAACUAUUUUUGAGCGCAUGAGAGGUGUUGAGGCUGGAAAACUGGAUCUGUCAAAUGGGUAGUUAGAGGAGAUCGUGGAGUCUUUUCGCAUGCAACUGUACGACUCAGAAACCACCACUAUGCGUUAAUUCUCGUGCAAAACACUUAGGUGCCUAAUAUAAUGGGAAGGAGGGAGUACAAAGUUGAGACCCUUAUUUUGGGACGGAGAGAGUAUUAGUUAAAGUUUCAUGUAUUAGCAGCAUAAUGAGUUAAAAAGUCUACAUGUUUCCUGCAUCUUCAUUACAAAUAUUAGCAGCAUAAUGAGUAGACGCUUUAUUGUAUGCAGCGAAUUUCAAAUUGAUACAAUUUCAGCAUUUUGGGACAGAUAAAUUAUACAGUAUUAUUUAAAAUGAAUUAUAAUUCUGUCUUAUCUGAAAUUAACAGAGCAUUAUGCUUCUCUGAGAUGGUAACAAAUGUUUCAUGCAGCAGCUUGACUUUUGUGUUUUCUGUUGUACAGAUCAAGCUAUUUGAUCUCCGUCUCAUUCAGAAGGGGGCUAUACAGUCUUAUGCAGGGCAUGUGAAUUCACACAAUAAUUUACCACUUGUUGUUGAUCCAUCUGAAACCCUACUUAUGUCAGGUAAAUUUAUUAUUGGUUCUAGGCAUCAUUGUGGUUGUUUUUGUCAUAUACUGCUACAAAGAAUGUGUUUUGAGGUUACCUAUCGAAACUGAACGUGUUUUUUUGGAUCGAUAAAAACAUUUCGAUGUAUUAUUUGCAUUUUCACUCGAGUGCCUCACUUCAUACUCCAGUUUGUGAGCAUUAGACUUAAAUUCGAUAAAUGUCAGCAGCUAUGCUUGUUCAUGCAGUGUGCCAGUAACAGAUGCAUUGGUAUUAACAAGAUCCCCACUCUGUAUGAUAUACAAGUGUAAGAGGGCUUUGGCAUUCCUGGAAUUAUUACAACAUCGAAUCAUGAGUUUGCGAAAGCUAAAUUUCGAGAAAACUAUGCUGUUACUAGCUGGUUCAUGUUUACUUUAUUAGGCUAUACAGGACAAUGAACAACAUAGUGACAUCUUUAUGAACGUGCAUGGCUAUAACAUUCCUGGCAAAUUGCCAUUUUCAGCAAAUCCUUAUUCUUGGCAGGUGGGGAGGACUGUACCGUCCGUAUUUGGAGCAUCAAAACAGGCGAGCAAAUAUUUGCCAAGAGUGUGGCUGACACUCUCUUCACUGCACUUUGCUGGCCAGAAAGCAACCUUAACUUGGAUGGUUCUUCUUCGCUGUUUGAUCUAAACCACAGUUGGGGGGCUUGGAUGGGAUCACGUGAUGGCCUGUUCUACAUGCAUGGUACUUAAACUGGCUGUGCACUGAUACAAACUCUGGAGCGGACGGAUGCAAUUACUGCUUUUUCUUGGGGAAGACGCAUCGAAGACGAUUGAUCCUGUUGGUUCACCGAAAAGUGUGCUCAAGCUGGUGUCGCUGGAGAGAUCUCAGCCGUCGUAGUUGAUCCUGUUGUUUCUGGAAGCGAGGGUUAGUUAUAUGGGAUCUGCUCCUCAUAGAGUAAUAGUGAUGAUGAUCAUGUUGUUUCUCUUAGUGAUAGGUAAGUCACCUGUCUAGUUGGGUAUCUGAGUUACCUUAGGAAAGCAGACCAUAUUGUAUCAUAUGCUUUUUUUAGCAUCGCUAGUUAGUCAGCAAUGUGAUAUUUUCUGCAAUGCUAGCAAACAAACAUAUUUCUGAACUCUGUUUGUAUUCUAGCAUCAUAUAUUCAUAUUAGCAAACACUGCUUCGGAGGUAUUGGUACACCAUUCCAGAUCUUUUUUAUCACACAAAACUGGUGCAACAUUUUAUUCAGCUCUUCCUACUUGCUACUAGCUACACCCAGGCAUGUUCAGGGUAUGUUGCUUGGUACUGUCUACAUUUACAGCACUUCAUCUCUCAAACUUCCAGUUCCAUGUUCAAGUUAAACCUAACGAGCUUUAUAAAUUCUCAACAG